Molecule: long non-coding RNA, 62195 nt
Filed under: Phaseolus vulgaris (common bean)
Lineage: Eukaryota; Viridiplantae; Streptophyta; Magnoliopsida; Fabales; Fabaceae
Description: long non-coding RNA (PVUL_LNC000553)
Source: RNAcentral
UUUUUUUAUUUGUUCGUUUGUUAAUCAUCCAUAUAUUGUGUAUGGUUCUGGAGUGCGAGGAAAUCUAAAUCUUGACUGCCAGUAGCUAAUCAGUUGUUGUGUAUAGUACUACCAAGAAACUCGAGCUCCCCUCAACCAUAUGAAAUUUUUGGAUCACUUUCUACUUCAUUUUCUGUUAAAUAUUGUUGUUUAUACAUGGUGUUGAAUUUCCAAUUCUCAGGAGGAAUGCUUACAUAAACUACAGAGACGUAUAGAUGUUCCAUAUGAUAGUUCUAUUAUUGAGCACCAGGUAUCUUUUAUAUUAUUACUUUUUAUGUCUGUAAGCAACGUGGCAACCAUUAUGAUUUACAACACUUCAAUCUAUGUACUCAUAGAGCUGGCACUGGCUUAUUGCUGUACGUGAAAUCUUCAAUGAUCAAUGUCUUAAUAGUGUAAUUUACAUAUUUAGGAUGCCCUUAGGGCCUUGUGGAAUGCUGCAUUUCCUGAAGAAGAGCUUCAUGGCUUGAUAUCUGAGCAGUGGAAGGAAAUGGGCUGGCAAGGGAAAGAUCCAUCAACAGAUUUUAGGUACUUAUUGUUCUCGUGUUUUUUCACUGCCGAACUAUUUCCAGCUAAUAUUGUUAAUGAUUUCUUCUAUAUAUUUGACAGGGGUGGUGGCUUUAUAUCAUUGGAAAAUUUUCUUUACUUUGCCAGGAAUUUCCCGGUACAAUUUCUUUAUGGGCUUUUCACUCUCAUGAUUUUGUAAUGAUAGAUUACUUUUGUUGACCAAAAUUAAGGUUUAGAAUGGAAAGCAUGAUGAAUGAGAGCGCAUCUUAAGUUCGUAAUAGCUAGAGAAUUUUACAUGGAAAUUGUAUUAGUGUUAGUGUAUUUUUUUCAAGCGAAUAGGCCGUUAUUAGUUUCUAAUAUUGAAAGGGAGUUCUGUAGAUAUAAAUUAAUGUUAUUGUUGGUUUUAAUUUUUGAAGAAUGUAUUUCUCACUCUAACGAUUUCAAAUGAAGUGUGAAUUGUGAUGUAGGAAAAGGUCUUCUCAAAAAUUUAGCAAAAUAUCUAUGUAGGUCUGAAGAAAAUUCGUGUGUUUGAACUUUAUCCAUGAUAGAAGAAUUGUGGCCAUAUUCAUAUAUAUUGUGUACGGUUUGGGUUUGCCAUAUAUUGCAUAUUGUCUUGCUUUCUUUGAGAGAAAGGUCCAGUAAACAUAUUUGAUCCUCUUUAUUGCUUUAAGCCUUCCAUAAUCAACAGUGAUAUGUGGAUACUUCAACCUCUUACUUCUUUUUACUCUCUUUUAUCUUGUCAUAUCAAUAUACCUAUCUCAUUUUCUCCCUUUUUUGUCAUUCUCUCUCAAGUUGUAUACUAGCUUUUGGUUUCCACAAAACAUUAUUCUUCCAUAAUUUACUGUUGUACCUCAAAGUCAUUUUGUACAUUUUCCUGUGAGGCCCUCGUUACCCUGUUAGUUCGUCUUUGUAAUUAAUCUAAUUAGUGUUGUUUUGGUCCCCGAUAACUACUAAAAUGUUUCUUAAAUCUAAUCACUUGUUUCCAUUCAUGUUCUUUAUCUUAUCUUUUAUUUUUGUAGAAAUCCUUCCAGGAUCUUUUACGAAAGCAGGAAGGAGAUCGGUCAGUGUGGGAAUAUCCAUUUGCAGUUGCUGGUGUUAAUAUCACUUACAUGCUGAUACAAUUGCUGGAUCUUGAAGCGGGUUUGUUACUUCUGUUGUUCUAACUUCUUUGUUCGCUGUUAUAACUUAUUUGUUGUUCUGUGUUGUCACGUCUAAAAUGAAGAGUUGGGUUAUGUAUGGUCAAUUUCAUUGAGCACCCAUGAUAAAUCUACUUAAUAUUUAAGGUGCUCUUUCAAUUUGUAUGUUGACAUUUUAGUUUUUCAUAAAUUCGUAUAACAAAGGUCACCUGCUAUCACUAUCUGAAUCAUUGAUGGUGCCACAGUGUGAUACAUUGAAUCAGUACGUGGAUCAGCAACAUCUAAUAAUAGUAUGCUUUGCCUUUACAGUCAAGCCACGCAAUCUGGUUGGAGCAACUUUUCUAAAAUUUCUUGCAGGUAGCCUAACUCUCCCUUCUCAAUUUGUUAUUUUAGUCUUCUUGAAUUUGGAUGAGGAUCACGGAGAGUUGAAACUUUUGUUAAAAAUGAAAAAGCACUUGUUUAAAAUGGUAUAGCUUUUACUUGUUAGCUUGCUGUUUGAGUAACUAAAUUCAUUCAUGUUUGUCUGACAGAAAAUGAGUCAGCUUUUGAUCUUCUCUAUUGCAUAACUUUCAAGCUAAUGGAUCAUCAAUGGCUUUCUAUGCGGGCCUCAUACAUGGAUUUUAAUGUACGUAUUCUAUAACCUCAGCUUGCUGUAGAAAAAUUGUGGCACAAAUAAUAUUUUUUUCAGUGUCCAAUUUUGAUAAGAACAGAAAAUUAGUAAAGCUUGUCCAUCUUUCAAAAUAGUUUGAAAAUUUUUAUGCGAAGACGAUAUGGUCUGCUUGAGCACUUCAUUGAGUAACUCGCAUGAUCCUUUAUGAGUAAAAUGUUAUUUAUGUUUUUACUAAAAUUAAUAUUGAUGUUUUGUCUUUUUUAAAUUCUGACAGGCAGUGAUGAAAGCAACACGACGUCAGCUAGAGAAAGAGAUUCUGUUUGAAGACAUAUCACGGCUUGAAGAUUUACCCUCUUACAAAUUACUCUCCCGAUAGUACGAGUCUCCUAUUUUUGUAUAUUUUAAUUUCCAAUCCUGUUAAUUCAGCAAUUUUAACGACAUUUGAGGUAUACAACAUGUAAAACUGAUGUGAUGUCAACAAGGUUUGAGAUGCAGCAGUUAAGGUUUGAGUUUGCUUGGUAUAUUGGAUAUUUGUUAUUUGAGGUUUCCCACUUUACCUAUAUAUUUCCUUCCAGUAUUAACGUCUAAAUGCAGCUUCAGGUAAUUCCCCUUCAUUAAUACACUGCAUAGUUCCUUCACUCUCAUACUUCUAUUCAUCACUCAUUUCAUUUCAUAAUUCUUCCCAUUCCUAUUAAUGUCUACACUCUAUACUUGUUUUAAAUUCUCCCAUAAAUGUACAAACACCUUUUUAUAAAUUCUGAUCAUUUAAGUUACAAAUUUAUGAAAAAAGGUAUCAAUAUCUCUUUAUUUAUCAAUGUUCUACAUCUAUAUAAAUCAUUUUAUAAGUUUUGGUUAGUGUAUCCAUAUUGUAUCGUAUCCUAAAUAUAAAAAGAAUAGUCGUGUACCCGUGUCCUAUUAAGUAUACGAGUUUCAUGGAAUAAAAGCAUUGGAACGUGUAUAUAAUUAAAUGUAUUUUAAUUAAAUACUAACAAGGAACAGAUCUUGUUUUAAAAAAGCAAAUUGCCUGCUUUUUGCUGCCAUCUCUUGUUGCUCUUGUUGUCUGCCACCCUUGUUUAUAUCAUAGAUAAAUUCAAGAAAAAAGUGUUUUGGAUUAUUUAGAAGACACUUUUGAGUUAUGUAAUUGAAAAGGUACUUCCAGAUUAUGCGCACAAUUUUCAAAUGGUGCAAUUUGAAUGAUUUUUCUUCAUGCAACAAAUCUGAAUUUUAUAAGUCAUUUUUUCAAUAAAUCAAAAUGUAAAGUAAAGAUUUUCAUAUUUAUGGGGGCUGUAGAAGGAAAUUAUGGGUUUGCAAAAAUAAAUUUCAAGACAUGAAUAUACGAUAAAGCACAAAGGUAGGUGUUUCGUCUUGCUUCCCUUACCAACUAAACAAUGUGAAUUACUUUCUGUACUCAUACAAUUUGAACAAGCACUCAAUGGUCACGUGAAAUGAAAAUAAAAAAACCUUAAAUGAGAGUAGAUUGUGGAUAGAAUUUUCCUUUUUUAAAAAAUCAUUCGACUUGUUCUUGCUUUAGCUGUUUCACACAAUUGGCCAUUCAUCAAAUAAACAUUGACAAUGCUUUUUCUUUUUAUAUUGACAAUAAUGUAAAAGGAUAAUAUAUUUCUUCUCUUCUUAGUCUUUUCUUUUGUAACCACAUGCUUGUAAAGGUGUACUGCCAUAUGAACAAUUGAUAUACAUUUUUCUUCUCUCAAACCUUCAUUCUGCUUUUACUCCUUUACCCCUAUACUUUCUUCUCUUUUACAUGGUAUACAGAGCUCUUCUUACUCAUGUCUUCUUCUUCUUCGACUACCAAUUUUGAAAAUUUUUCUUGUGUUUCAUCCUUCACACCUCUCAUACUUUCUCUACUCCCAUCUUGUUGAAAUUGGAUGAUGAUAACUUUCUUCUCUGACAACAACAAGUCACUGCCAUUGUACAUGGUCUCAAUCUUUCACGAUUCUUGGAGGAUUCUUCAUCACCUCCAGAAUUUCUCACUACUGAAAAUUCAGAAUCGCCCACCCUUAACCCUCUCUUUCUUCAGCUUCACCAACAAGAUCACCUUCUUGUUGUCUGGUUUCUUGCGGCCAUGGCAACGCCAAUCUUGACGAAAAUGGUGGGUCUUCGCACAACGUAUCAAAUCUGGAACAAACUGCAUAUGCAUUACACAACUCAAUCUCGUGUCAAAAUUAAGAAACUCAAGGUACAUUUAUGCAAUCCUAAGGAAGAUCGCUCCAUUUCGACCUAUCUUCUUUAUCAAAAGAAAAUCGUGGAUACCCUUACCGUUGUCGGUGCUCCAAUCUCAAUCGAUGAUCAAAUCAAAGCUAUUCUGGAUGGCUUACCUGACGAAUAUGACGCUUUGAUUACUUUUGUCACCUCUCGCAUCGAUCCAUACAUGGUUGAAGACAUUGAGGAUCUUCUGCUUGCUUAAGAGGAACAUUUUGACAAAUAUCGCUUGUUGGAUUCUAGUAUUGUUCAAGCACAUCUUUUGAUUGCUUCUUGGCAACCGUUAAACCCUACAUCAACCAAACCAUGGAUGACUCAAAAUCACAGAGGUGGUCGUCGUGGUGGAUGACCCCCAAAUCGUUUCUCUGGAGCGUCAAAUAGAAUUUUUGGCAACAGAAACCCCAAUUUAAAGAUCCAGUGCCAAAUUUGUGGAAAGAUGGGCCACUCAACUCUCCGUUGUUGGAAAAGGUAUGACACCGAUUCAAAUAACUCGAUCACUAUGGUCACUGAUCCUCUCUGAUAUCCUGACAACGGUGCUACACAUCAUCUCACAAGUGACUUCAAUGCUUUUACCACUAAAUCCAAUUAUAAUGGCACCGAGGAUGUAAAAUUAGGUAAUGGUUCAGGUACUCCCAUUGCUCACAUUGGCUCUGCCACUUACAUUACUCCUUACAAUAACAUUGUCAUUUGUCUUAAUCAACUUCUUCAUGUUCCAAACAUGACAAAAAAUCUUACAAGUGUUUCUAAGUUUGCUAAAGACAAUAUUGUUUUUUUUGAAUUCUAUUCUGAUUACUGCCUCGUCACAUAGCAGGAUAUAAAGCGGAUCAUUCUACAAAGAAAACUUAAAUAUGGUCUUUAUGUGUUUCCUCCGUUUACUCAUAAACUCAAACCUACUGUGUGCAAUAUUAGUGUUAAUUCUGUGUGUUCUAAGUUUCAACUAUGGCAUAAUCGCCUUGGUCAUGCUUCCUAUAACACUAUCAAUAGAAUAAUGAAAUUGUGCAAAGUUCCAUGUAUUAAAGACUCUAUUUUUUGUGAAAACUAUACUAUUGCUAAACAUCAUCAAUUACCUUUUCAUGAUUCUGAAACUGUCUAUACUUGUCCUCUUGAACUUGUCUUUGCUGAUAUACAGGGUCUUUCUCCAUACUAUUCAUCUAAUGGAUUUCGGUAUUACUUAGCUUUUCUUGAUGCUUAUUCGCACUUUACAUGGCUUUAUCUCAUAUCAUCUAAAUCUCAAGUUUUUUCAUUUUUCCAACGUUUUAAACUUUUUGCUGAAAAACAAUUUGGAUGCAUAUUAAAAAUCUUACAAACGAAUAAUGCUAAGGAAUUUCUUUCUCUUACACCUUGCCUACAUAAUAAUGGGAUACAACAUAGGUUAACUUGUCCUCACACACAUGAGUAAAAUAGCUCAAUUGAAAGAAAACAUAGACAUGUUGUUGAGAUAGGUUUAGCCAUGUUAUCCACUGCCUCUUUACCUUAUAAGUUUUGGGGAGAAGCUUUUCUUAGUACAACUACUAUUAUUAAUCACUUACCAUCUUUUGUGCUUAACAAUCGUAGCCCUAAUGAAGUUCUUUUUAACAAGAAACCCAAUUAUGAAUUCUUUAAAGUUGUUGGUUGUGCUUGUUAUCCUUUGCUUAGACCGUAUAAUCAUCAUAAGUUUGAAUAUCAUGCUUCUAUAUGCCUAUUUUUGGGAUAUGAUUCUAAACAUAAAGGGUACCUUUGCUUAUUGCCUUCUGGUAAGACCAUUAUCUCGCGGCAUGUCAUUUUUAAUGAAAUUGUUUUUCCUUUUGCUCUUACAAAUAAUCAUUUCUCUAUUGUUUCUUAUUUUCCACCUUCUACUCAUUCUAAUGUGCCCCUCACAGUUGUUACUUCACCCACCUCUUUACCAUCUGCUCCUAUUAAUACUUCUACUGAUAAUGCUUGUACCACUGCUCUUAAUAAUAAUCUCCUACUCCUACUUGCACCACUACACUUGUUUCUUGUGAAUUUAUGGAGUCUUCUUCUUCUCCACCCGUUUCAACUCCUAUCAUCAACAAUUAUCCCAUGGUGACCCGUGCCAAAGCUGGUGUGUUCAAACCCAAAAUAUAUCAGGUUAGUACAUCUUUUGCUAAACCCGUUGAUUAUAAACAAGCUUUAUUUGAUUCAAAUUGGUUUAAAGCAAUGCAAUCAGAAUAUAAUUCGCUUAUAACUAAUAACACUUGGACUCUAAUGCCCCUUCCUCCUGGUGUGAGUGUUGUUGGAUGCAAGUGGAUUUUCAAACGCAAGUUGCAUGCUGAUGGGACUUUUCAUCGCAACAAAGCGCGUCUUGUAGUCAAAGGCUUUACUCAGGUUCUUGGUCUGGAUUAUAGUGACACGUUCAGUCCUGUUGUUUGACCUACAACCAUUCAAAUUGUUCUUGCUUUAGUUGUUUCACACAAUUGGCCACUGCAUCAAAUAAACAUUGACAAUGCUUUUUUACACGACAACUUACAAGAACAUGUAUACAUGGCUCAACCACUUGGGUUUGUUUCAUCUCCGCAUCCUCAACAUGUAUGCAAACUGAACAAAGCUAUAUAUGGUCUAAAACAAGCUCCUCAAUCCUGGUUUCAGAAGCUUCAUCAUACUCUUAGAGAUAUGGAUUUUCAAUCUUCUAAAAGUGAUUCUUCUCUGUUCAUCAAGUUCUGGGAUGGUAAUAUCUUACUCAUUCUUGUGUAUGUCGAUGACAUUCUUAUUACUGGUAACUCAUUUAAUGUAAUUCAAAAGUUUAUUUUUGCCAUACAAACUAUUUUUCCUUUAAAAGAUCUUGGCAUAUUGCAUUAUUUUCUUGAUGUUCAGGUCUCAUCACUACCAGAUGGUAGUUUAUUCUUGUCUCGGAAAAAAUAUACAAUUGAUCUUCAGCUGCGAACUGAUAUGCUUCAUGCCAAAUCCCAACCCACACCAAUGAUUUCUUCUUUGCGGUUAACUAAAUAUGGUAGCACAGCUGUUCCAGAUCCCACUCUUUAUAGAUCUACUGUUGGAGCACUUCAAUAUCUCACUAUCACACGUCCUGACCUUGCCUUUUUUUGUGAACAAAGUCUAUUAGUUCAUGCAUGCUCCUCACGAACACCAUUGGAAAGUUGUGAAACGAAUUUUAAGAUAUGUUGUUGGCACCAUUGCGCACGGUCUCCAUCUUCAUCCCAGUUCUACAUCAUCCAUAAUGGGUUUCAGUGAUGCUGAUUGGGCAACCGAUUUGGAUGAUAGACGCUCCACAACAUUGCUCUACUUGGGAAAAAAUCUUAUCUCAUGGUCUUCUAAAAAACAAAGGGUCGUCUCUCGAAGCACUACAGAAGCUGAGUAGCACAGUAUCGUUGUUGUUCUCGCAGAGCUGUUAUGGAUUCAAUUUCUUCUAACAGAGCUCCGACAAGUUUUCUCUCCAUCUACAAUAUACUCAAAUAAUCUUGGAGUUGUUCUUAUGGCCGCCAAUUGUGUCAUGCAUUCCAAACCUUUGAGCUUGUCCUUUGUAAAAAUAACUAUACACCUUCAUCAGGACACGGAAAAAUAAUUUACAACUUUUUCAUUUUACUCAUCCAAGUUAUAUAACAAUGUUAAAUUGCAUUCAAUUAAAUUUUUAUGGACUAAAACUAGUUUACACGUGAAUUAAAUAAAUAAAUUUUCUAAAUAUUCAAUGAUUUAAAUAUCAUGCCGACUUAGCAAAGCAACUUAAACAAACAUGGAAGUGAUUUGAAGUAUGUGAAUAAAAAGUUUAGUUAUUGGUAAAAUUGAGAAUCACGAAUUUAAUAAUUUGGAGGGAAUGUGGUAGGUAAUAGUUGAUAAAUUUAAUUAUAUAAAACUAGAACAAGCUAUAACAUCAUCAUUUCUUAAAGAAAAGAGAAAGCACAAUUUUAGAAUAAUUAAAAAAAACGUAAUCUUAUUAUCAUAUCUAGUGUACUUUUGUGAUAUUGAAAGGCACACGAAGGUUACAACUACGUGUCCUUUUAUGGUGAUCAUAGUCACAAUAAAACAAUAUUAUUGAACCUUUUGUAAUCAAGUGUUUUCAUAUUUUUUUUUCAAACCCUUUCUCACUUUGCUUUGCACCUAACAUUAACAAUGGUGAAUAUUUGUUGUGGGGAUAUGCCAUGAUUUAGAAGAAAAAAGAAAGUGAUAAUCAUGAACUAGUUUUUUUUUCCACACUCGUGUAAUUUAUUUUUGGAUUUUUGGAAAUAGACAAAUUAAAAACUUAUUAUUUGAAAGAUACGAGUUAAUUUUUAGCAAAUCGUGUGUAUACGUUCAUGAUUUAUAAAUAUUUCAAACAAGUCGUAUUGAAUAUGAUUUCCUGUGAUCAGAUUUCUACGAAAUCGUACUUAAAAAUUGUAUUUUAAUUAGUAUACAAAAAAUUGAAUUAGUGAUAUCGUUUACCUGAAAUGUGAUUUUAAAAAGUUAAAGAAAAAGUGAAAUCUUAUAAUUAAAAGACGAUUUUAAUAAUUAUAAAAAUGAAUUAAAAAUAAAAUUCUACAGGACAAAUUCAACAACUUCUUUCAGAAGAAGGUUAUUAUUAUUUUUAAUGAUAUAAUAAUUUAAAAAAUAAUUAAUUAUUAUUUUAAUUAAAAAUAAUGUAAAAAUUAAUAAUGAUGAUAAAAUAUGUUAAAAAAAAUCAAAAUUAGAUUUUACUAUAAUUAAUCUCUACAACUAAAUAUUUCUUAAAUUAUUACACCGUUUAAAGAAAUUUAAAAAGUUUUUUUAAAAAUAUCAUUGAAUUGGACCAAUAGCAUUUAAGUUUAUAUUCAUUUUUUUAUAAUUAUUAAAAUCGUAUAAUUUUGUAACUUAUUAAGAUCGUAAUAAGAUUUCUUCAAAAUUUUGCCAAAUUCAGGAAUAAAUUUUUUAAUUUGCCCAUUUCCGAAAACUCAAAAAGUAAAUUGCACUAGGCUGGGAAAAAGGUGCAUGAACUAACUAGCUUUCACGUUGUAAAACCAUCCAUUAUUGUAGUUAGUGUUUUGAAAGCAUAACUACAAAUCAAGUAAAAAAACUCACAACUUUAAAUUAGGCAUUACAAGCAACUUAUUUUAGGUCAAAUUUGAACAAGAAAUCAUCAUAUAAAGUUGUAGAAAAUUUGACAACUGUAAUUGAUAAAACUCCAAACAAACUUUGCAUAAGCAUCGCAUCAAUCAAAUGCCUCUAGAAAGACAUUAACAAACAAUGAGGUAAAGCAAAACUAGUUUUAGAUUUGAUUUAUCAAACUGUGAGCAUGUUUCAAGGGACAUGGUAGAAACUUAAGAUACAAAACCAAGGAACCAAACCCUAACAAAAGUCCAGCAGUCGACAAAAACAGAACAUGUAGAUGAUAAUCUGGAUCACAACUUGAUGCAUAUGGUUUAUUCAUAGAUCCAUGAGUGUUGGCUGCUUUGCCAGUUAACAGGGCCAUCAGGGAACCACAAGGCAAUUUCCUUGCGAGCACUCUCAACUGAAUCACUUCCAUGGAUAACAUUCCUACACAAGAACAUCUUCAUAAGAAAAAGUACAAAAUUUCACUGAAAAAUUCAUUGGAGAACACAAUCCAAUUGAAAAGGUACAAAAAUCACUUCUGAUUCAUCUGAGAUUAGUAAAAUAUGGAUUUGUUGAUAAACUUUCACAAAAAUACCAACAAAUUUGAUUUCUAAGAAUACAAUGACAUACAGGGCUUCAGGAUAUAGAAGAUCAAACAGCAAAAAGAUAACCUAAUAUCCACAUAACUAAAUUAGAAACAUGAACAAUGGAAACACAUUUAGUUGCAGCUUGAACAAAAAACUUGAAAAAAGAAUAGCAAUGAAGAACAAGAUUGUGAAGAAAACAAAAUCUUACCUUCCAAUGUCAACAGCAUAGUCACCACGAAUAGUUCCAGGCUCAGAUUGAGCUGGGUUAGUGGCCCCAAUUAUCUUUCUCCCAGUAACCACAACAUUCUUACCCUCCCAAAUCAUGGCAACAACAGGGCCAGAGAUGAUGUAAUCCACCAAUCCACUGAAGAAAGGCUUGGCAGAUAAAUCAGCAUAGUGCUUCUCAGCAAAAGGACGCUCCACAGUAACAAGUUUCAAACCUGAAACCAAAUCACAUUAAAACAAUCAUUUGCUAAUAACAAUUUCAAAACUAAAAAAAAUUGUCAUAACUCAUACUAAGACCAAGAUUGUGGUGUUGGUAAUCAUGUGUCUAGAUAUAAGAAUUCAAUCGAAUAUGAUGUCUAAGCAAAAAACACAAGCAUGAACUCUAGCUUUUUAGUCUAUAUCAGAAACAAAACAAUACGUUCUGAUCUGAGGUUGCUCUCACAAGUCACAACAAAAAUUCAGUAUACUAUGAAGCAGUUAACUGAAGAUUACCUUUCAAGUAGAAACCUUUCUUCUCAAAUCUGGCGAUGAUCUCACCAAUCUGAAACAGAAUCACUAAUCAGUCAAAUAAAUCACAUGCAUGAACCUUUAAAUUAAAAAACAUCGACAUUUAAAAUCGAAUUACCGACACAAACAAAUCAUUGCCAAAACAACAAUCAGCAAAUCUUCUAAAAACUCAAAUUUCCCAAAGCCCGGAAACUCGUCACCAAACCAGUCAACCCAUUUUCUGAAAAGACAUAAAUAGCAAACCCACCUUCACAAAAUUCCGCAAAACCCAAAAAAAAAUCACUAACAGUCAUUGACCCAUUUCCUGAAAAGUCAUGGAUAGCAACCCCAUCUUUUCAAAACACGCAAUUUCCUAAAACCCAGUUCAGAAUAAACAACAAAAAUUAAAAACAAACACUAUAAAACCAGAAACAAAAAAGUUAAGAGAAAACUAAACGCACAAGGCCUCUCUGAACGCCAUCAGGCUUGAUCAUGAUGAAGGUUUGCUCGGCCAUCUCUCUCUUUUGAUGUUUUUUUCGGUGUUUUGGUAGUGAGUGAGUGAGAUGGAGCGAGAGAUAUACGGUAGAGGAGUGAGAGAGAAAAGGGGUAUUUAUAUACGGUGCUGAUGAAGAACACUCCAACCCUAACCCUAAUUUUCACGAACGAAUAUUCUCCCUUUGGCCUUGGGAAUCAUUUUCAUGUUCUUUUACUUCUCUUACCUAAAUAUAUUCUAAUUCUCUAUUUUAGAAGACUUUUGUAAUACCUACAUAGUGAUUCUCUCCUUUUUUAUAAUUCCCAGUAAAUAAGUUUGUAUAAUUUUCUUUUCCAAUAGAAAAGAAUAAAGUUAACACAAGAUAUUUUGAUUAUAUACUUAAAAAUAUAUAAUCCUAAUACUUGAAAUACAUGAAAUAUAAUAAGUUUAAUGUGUAAUACAUGAAGAAAAGGUAUGUUGUUAAACAAGAUGUUUUGAUGUCUUAAAAUUCAAGUUAAAAACUUGAAGAACUUGUUCAUAGAAGUUAGUGUUGUUUGGUUAUUUUGAAACUUGUUAAUAAUUUACUUCUUAAGAUGAUUCAAGUUCAAUUAAAUAUUUACCUUUUUUAAAAGAUGGGUUUUUUUAAAAGGAUGUGAAAUUUCAACCUGUUGAACUGAGUGAUUUUUAAAAUGGUUUGGAAAAGCUUAGCUUUGUUUUGGCUUUGCUAUCAAACAGAUUCAAUAAGUUGUUUCAAUAAAUCAACUAGUUAUUUUUUUGAAAACCUUAAAAGAAUUAUGUUAAGUGAUUUUAAUUAGUUUUAAAUGAUUCUAAUAGCUUUUGGUUUUUUAUUUAACUACUUUGACUAUUUGAUUGGGGUAUAUAAAUGUUGUUUUAUGCUCCUAUGCAUUAAUUAAGAAAGAGAGAUUAAUCAAAAAUAGUUUUCCAGAUUUUCAAAGCUUUGGAUCAUCUCAAGUGUGUGGAAUAGGAUUGGAUUUUGUACUUCUGAACCUUAAGCUUUGAUUUACCCAGAUGUAUUUUAUUCCCUUCUUUCUUGAACAUUCUAUUUUUUGUGUGUUCUUGUGUAAGGCAGUUUAAAAAGGUGUUCCUGGAAACUGUGUUGUUUGCCAAAGAAUGGUGUGUGUUCUUGAAAUGAUCAAGAUCAUCACUCUUGGUGUGAGUUUUGUAAUCUAGGGUUGAUUACAUAGUGAAUUCUCAGAAGUUAGCUGAGGACUGGAUGUAGCUAUUGGAUAAGAGUGAACCAGUAUAAACAUCUUGUGUGAUUCUCUCUCUUCCUACACUAAUAAACUAUUUUAACAUUGUUUUUCAAUUCUGCUUGCUGGUAUAAACAACCGGUUGUUUCGUGAAAACAACUGGUUGAUUUUCUGGAAUCAAACUUAAAACGGUUUUUUAUUGGUUGAACAGUAUUUUCAAUUGAGUGAUUCUUCAUAACUUUUCACUCUACCUUCAUUUUUUGCGAAAAUCAUUCAAAAAUAAUUUUCCCCCCCUCUUGUUUAGGCCUCUAAUUCUAACAAUUGGCAACAGGAGUUGAGUUCUUGAAAGUUACUCAAGUUUCGAUUCUAAAACCUUUUUUAAAAUGGCUAAAAAAAACUACCCUUUGGGGAGGGUGCUUCUAUAAACAAACCACCUUUGUGUUUGUGGACUGAACUAUCAAUUUUGCAAUGUUAGAAUGAAAAUUUUUGUUGAAUCAAUUGAUGAAGGAAUCUAAGAUGCUAUUGUAAAUGGCCCUUUUAUACCCAAAUUUAAAAAUAGGAGAUGUGGAACAUUCUUGAGGUUACCCAUGAAGACACAAACUGAUGAGAGGAGGGAAAGGAAGCAUGCCUAGGUCCAAGAAUAUGAAAUGUUCAGAAUGCUUAAAGGGGAAACCAUCUCAGAUGUGCAGAAAAGAUUCUCCCACAUAGUGAAUCGCCUCAUCAGCCUUGGCAAGAUCUUUGAAAGGGAGGAGCUGAACAUCAAGAUCCUCAAAUGCUUGGAUAGAUUAUGGUAACCAAAGGUCACUGCAAUUUCUGAAUCCAAGGAUUUGACCAAGACUACAACCUCCUUAUUUGGUAAGCUAAGGGAGCAUAAGCUUAAAAUGAACCGGCUAAAUGACCAAGAAAAUGAAGAAAAACAUGUGAGGAGCAUCGCUUUAACAGUUGUUGGUUACAAGGAUGGUUAAGACUCAAGUGAGUGCAGUGAUGGUGAGACUUUCAACUUGCUCAAAAGGAAGUUUAGCAAGUUCUUGAAGAAGAAGAACCGGGACAAGAAUCAACCAUCAAACAGGUAUAAUAGUAAGAAAGUGAAUUUAUUCAAUUCUACAAACUAUACUUAUUUUGGAUGUGGUAAGCAGGGUCAUAUUAGGGUUGAUUGUCCAAAUAAUGAGAGCAAGGAGUGAGGGUCAAGCAAGAAGCUUGAAAAGAAGGGCAAAACAAGAAGAUUGAAAAGAAAGUCAAAACAAAAAGAGCCUACAUUACUUGGCAAGAUAAUGAUGAUUCAUCCUCUAGCUCAUCAUUAAAGGAAGAUGAAGAAGUCAAUUUGUGUUUGAUGGCCAAGGAAGGAAGAAUCAGAAACCAGUAGUGUAAGUUCUAGCACUUCAAUUAAUUUUUUGAAAAUUAUAGUCAACUUCUUGAUUCCUUCAAAAAGACUCAUGAAGAAGCAAAUAGAUUGGCCUUUUUGAAUAACCGGUUGAAAGGUUUAAACAAAUGGUUGGAAAAUAGAGUCAAGACCUUGGAAGAAAAGUUGAACAAUUCAAAAACUGAUUUUGAAAAUUUGGAAAUGAUUUACAAAGUCUCUUUUUGCAAGUGUGAUUCUAGCUUUUGUGAAAACUGUGAAGUUCUUCAAAAGAAAGUCCAUUAUCUUUUAAAAACUAUGGACAAGUUUUCCAAAGGCCAAUCAAACCUUGAAACUUUUCUUGCAUCAUAAAAUUGUGUUUUUGGAAAGGCUGGAUUGGGAUUUAACUAAAACAACAAGAAUAUAUCAGUUUCAAAACCCUUUUCUAGUUUUUUUGAAAAAUAAUUGAUUGUUUUGUCGAAACAACCGGUUGAAACGUGCUUUUACUGCAUGAAAAGGAGCCAUACUGUUAGAUUUUGUAGAGUAAGAAGGUUUUAUGUUUUCAUAGGUGUUUUAAAGUGGGUUCCUAAAAAUUCUAAGGUUUCUAAUGUCCAGUUAAUGCCCAUUGACCCAAAUUUGUAAGGGGACCAAAUCUUGCUUCUUGAUCUUAUUUCUUGCAGGGUUCUUUGAUGGCAAACCAACACCUAUGGUACCUGGACAGUGGAUGUCCCAAGCACAUGACAGGAGAUAAAAGCAAGUUUGUUAAUCUACCUCAAGCAAUAAGGUCACGUGACAUUUUGGGGACAACAACAAAGGAAAAAUUCUUGGAAGAGGAACCACUGGCGACAAAGAAUACCUUCUUGAUUAAUGAUGUGCUAUUUAUGGAAGGUCUAAAGCAUAUCCUCCUAAGCAUAAGCCAGUUUUGUGACAAAGGUUAUCAAAUAACCUUCAAGCCCAACACAUGUGAGAUAAAGUUGUCCAAAUCAUAGGAAGUUUUGUUGAUUGGUAAAAGGAUCAACAAUGUCUAUUUACUUGAUAUCUCACAUUUUGCAUCUAUUGACUGCCUUCUAAUCAAACAUGAGGAAUCAUGGUUAUGACAUUGAAGGAUAGCAUAUAUCCACAUGCAUCAUCUAAAUAAGUUGAUCUCAAAAGAUCUUAUAGUAGGUUUACCCAAACUCAAGUUUGAGAAAGACCACAUAUGUGAAGCAUGUCAAAAGGGGAAGCAAAUCAAACACUCUUUCAAACUGAAAAAUGUUGUUUCAACUUCCAAACCCCUUGAAUUGUUGCACAUGGAUUUGUUUGGUCCUUCAAGAACCAUGAGUCUUGGUGGAAACUACUAUGCAUUUGUAAUAGUUGAUGAUUUCUCUAGGUUCACAUGGACACUAUUUCUGGAAUCCAAGAGUGAUGCAUUUUCUACAUUCAAAAAGCUUGUCAAGAGAUUACAAAACAAGUGUUGCAGUAACAUUUGUGUCAUUCGUAGUGAUCAUGGGGGAGAAUUUUAAAAUGAAAAAAAUCAGUGGUUUUUAUGAAAAACUUGGUAUUUUCCAUAAUUUUUAUGCUCCUAGAACUCCCCAACAGAAUGAGGUUGUGGAAAGGAAGAAUAUGUCUCUUGAGGAACUUGCUAGAACCAUUUUGAGUGAGUCUUCAUUGCCAAAAUAUUUUUGGGCUGAUGUUGUUAGCACAACUUCCUAUGUGAUGAAUAUAGGGUCCUCGUUAGACCAAUUUUGAAAAAAAACCCCUUUAUGAACUAUUUAAUGGCAUAAAACCCAACAUUAGUCAUCUAAAAGUGUUUGACUGCAAAUGUUAUAUUCUUAAUAACGGAAAGGAAAACCUUGACAAGUUUGAUGAAAAAGCAGAUAGUGGUAUCUUUCUUGGUUAUUCCUUAACUAGUCAUGCUUAUAGAGUGUAUAACAAAAGACUUAUGACUGUGGAAAAGUCCAUUCAUGUUGUCUUGGAUGAAACUAACCCUACAAAACAUGACUUUAUGAAGAAUUAUGCAGAAGACGAUGAUCAGAACAUCAUUUUGCAAAAGCUAGAAUCCUGUCCAGAAAAACAACUGGUUGAUUCUGCGAAACAACUUGUUGAAAUUCUGCAUUAGGAUGAUCUUCUUAAAGAAUGGAGAAUUCCAAGAGACCUUGAUGUGGACAACAUCAUUGAACAAAUUGAUAAUGGGACUCUCCACUCGAAACUCUAUCUCUAAUUACUACAAACACAUGACUUUUGUGUCUCAAAUUGAACCUAAAUCCAUUUAUGAUGCACUUAAAGAUGAAAAUUGGGUUGUUGCCAUGCAUGAUGAGCUGAAUCAAUUUACUAGAAAUGAUGUGUGCUUUCUUGUUCCUAAAACUGAUUGCAUGGAUGUCAUUGGAACUAAGUGGGUGUUUAGAAAUAAAGUGGAUGAAUAUGGUGUAAUAACUAGAAACAAAGCUAGGUUGGUUGCUAAAGGUUAUUAUCAAGAAGAAGGCAUUGAUUAUGAUGAAAUAUUUGCACCUGUGGCUAGAUUAGAAGUUGUGAGAUUAUUGCUUGCAUUUUCUUGUAUGAGUGGGUUCAAACUUUUUUCGGAUGGAUGUGAAAAGUGCAUUUCUCAAUGGAUUCAUCAAUGAAAAAGUCUAUGUUGUUGAACAAGAUGCUUUGAUGUCUCCAAAUCCAAGAGAAAAGCUUGAAGACCUUGUUGUUGGGUGUGUCUGUGUUGUCUAGUUGUUUGAAAUUUGUUAAUUCACUCCUUAAGAUGAUCUAAGUUCAUUUGAAUCUUUAACCUUUUGAAAAGAUGAGUUUUCUAAAAUGCUAUUAAAAUUUCAACAGGUUGUUUUUUCGAAACUACAGGUUGUUUUACCUUAGCAGUUUUUGAAAAGGUUUUGAAAAAGCUUGACUUUGCUGUCAAGUCAAAUCAAUCGAUUGUUUCGACAAAACAACCGAUUGUUUUUCUGAAAACCUUAACAAAAUUCUGUUAAGCGAUUUUAAUAUGUUUUAAAUGAUCCUAACUAACUUGGCUCCUUUAUUAAAUGCUUUUGACCACUUGAUUGGUCUAUAUAAAGGUGGUUUUACGCUCCUAAUCUUGAUGUAAGAGAAAAAUUUUAUCAAAACAGUUUUUCCAAGAUUUGAAAGAGCUUUGGAUCAUUCUUAAGUGUGUGGAAUAGGAUUGGGUUCUAAUUCUGAACUUUAAGCUUUGUAAUACCCAGGUGUAUUCUAUUCCCUUCUUCCUUGAUUAUUGUAUUUAUGUAGUUGUGUUGCCAAGGAGUGUUGUGUGUUCUUGAGGUGUUCAAGAUCAACAUUCUUGGUGUGGUUCGCCAAAGGUAGUGUGUUUCUUGAGGGGUUCAAGGUCACUACUUUGGUGUGUGAUGUUUGUAAUCUGGUUUUGAUUGCAUAGUGGAUUACCCAGUGGUUUCUGGGGACUGGAUGUAGCUCUUGGUGUAAGAGUGAACCAGUAUAAAUCUGUUUGUGUGAUUCUCUCUUUCCCUGAUCUCACAUAUAUCUAUUUUAAGUUGUUUUUAUUAACUGCUGAUAAAAACAACCGAUUGUUUCGACAAAACAACCGGUUGAUUUUCUGGAAAUCAACUAAAACAACUUUGUGCAUUGCUUUCCUUGAUUCCUUUCUCUAUAAUUCUUCAUUGGCUUUCAUUAUACCUUCAAAGUUUGCGAAAAUCUCUUAUAAACAAUUCACCCCCCUCUUGUUUAAGGCCAUAUAUUCUAACAUAUGUCUCAUAACCUCCCGGAUUUGAAGAUCACCAACAUCUUACUCAUGUGUAAAAAGGCUUUGUAUGGACUCAAGCAAGAACUAAGACAGUGGUGUGAGAGGCUUAGCAAUUUUCUCUUAUCUCAUGGCUAUGAAAGAGGCAAAUUUGAUAAGACUUUUUUUUAUUAAAAAGUCAAAAUCUGUCAUCAUCUUGAUACAAAUUUAUGUUGAUGAUAUCAUCUUUGGAGCUACUAAUGAUUGCCUAUGUGAGGAAUUUGUUGAAGCUAUACAGGGGGGAUUUUAAAUGUUUAUGAUGGGGGAGUUAUCCUUCCUCUUAAGGUUGCAGGUCAAGCAAUUAAAGGAUGAUAUAUUCUUGAGUAAAAACUAAGUAUUGCAAGAAAAUUCUCAAGAAGUUUGAAAUGGAAAACUACAAAGAAGCAUCCACACCAAUGUCAACUAGCUGUUACAAGGAUGCUGAUUUGGCUGGAACAGUUGUUGAUCAAACCAAAUUCAGAGGAUUGAUUGGUUUCUUUCUUUAGCAGGCUCGACAUCAUGUUUUCAAUUUGCCUAUGUGCUAGAUUUUAAUCAAAUCCAAAAGAAUCACACUUCAAGGCUGCCAAACGAAUUCUGAAAUAUCUCAAAGGCACAACCAGUGUUGGUUUAUGGUAUCCCUCUCACUCUCCUAUAAAUUUGGUUGGAUACUCUGAUUCUAAUUUUGCAGGGUGCAAGCAAGAUAGAAAGAGCACAAGUGACAUUUGUCAUCUUCUUAGAGCAAGCCUCAUAUCCUGGCAUAGCAAGAAUCAAGCUUGUGUGGCUCUCUCAAUUGCAGAAGUUGAGAAUAUAAUUGUUGGCAGUUAUUGUGCACAAAUACUUUGGAUCAAAGAGCAGCUAGAAGACUUUGGCUUGAAGGUUAACAAUGUGCCCUUGCUUUGUGAAAACACAAGUGCAAUCAACCUCAUUAAAAAUCAAAUUCAACAUUCAAUGACUAAGCACAAUGAGAUUCGCCACCAUUUUAUAAGAGAUCAUUUUGUAGAGCAUGGGAACUUUGAUGUUUCAAAUCCAUGAUGAAGCUUGAAGUUGUGUUGCUUUUGGUUUGGGUUUAGAUUAGAAUGUUUAAAAUCUAUGUAAAGAUCAAUUUUUGACACUUGCACAAAGCUUGCCUAAAUUUGUUUUAAAAAAAGAAAAGUGUUUUUCUAAGAAAAGAGAAAAACAACCGGUUGAAUUAUCGAAAUAAUCGGUUGUUUGUCACCUAGCUGGCUUAUAGGUUUUAAAACUGUUUUUGACUUGGUUAUGUAAUUGCCUAACCAAUUCAACCGGUUAAAUCGUCUUUUCAACUAGUUGAUUGUGACUUUCUCUAACAUUUUUUUGAAAAACUUGUUAUUCUAUUUUGGGUGUGAUCAAAACUGCUUUAGGUCAUUAAUGUUGCCUUGAACGGCUAGUUUUUAAGUGCUAUAAAUAUAGCCUUUCUUUUAAAACAAAAAACAACAAGUUUUUACACAGUUUGAAAUCAAAGAGAGAUUGAGAUUAGUUUUUUAAAGAAGUUUUCAAAAUAUUUGCAAGAUUGUUGUUAAGCUUUGCACUGGUACAAGAUCUGAUUAUAGGACUUCCUGGUUUGUGUAAUCUCAUGUGUUUUCUAUUUCUUUCAUGAUUCUUGUAAUUGUACUUUCAUAAACUUGUAAGUGUGUGUGAAAUCCUGCAAAUUCAGAGAGUGUUCUGACUUAAGGUGUGCGGUGUUGCAAAGAGGGUGAGUGGGUCUUGUGGUUUUCAAGGUCACCUCUUUGUGGUUGUGUUUGGUGUAAUAUGUAAGUGAUUACUAGUGGAACUCAGAGGUUGUUCUGAGAACUGGAUGUAGCUCAAGGUUGAGUGAACCAGUAUAUAAUUUGUUGUGUAAAUCUUUCUAUCUCUAACUCCUUAUAACUAUUUGUUUUAAUUCUGGUUUUGUUGCUGAUAUAAACAACCGGUUAAAACGUGAUUUUAACCGAUUAAAAUUCUGAAAACAUUUUUUGUAUCAUUGGUUGAUUGCUUUCCUUAAUUACUUAUAUGUGAUUGUUUGAUAAAGGUUCAUUCUUAAUCAAUCUUUGACAAACAAUUCACCCCUCUCCCCCCCUCUUGUUUAAGCCAUCAAUUCUUACACAUGUGAGCAAUGGGGAUUAUGAAGUUCAGUUUAUUGAAACUGAAAAAGAAACUUACAGAUAUCUUCACUAAGCCACUGCCUCGAGAAAGGUUUUUCUUCUUAAGAUAUGAGUUGAGUAUCCUUGAUUCUUAAAAUCUUUCUUAAUCCAUUCUCUUAUUGUAUUUGUGAAGACAAAUAGGGGGAGAAAAUGUGGUUUUGUGUUGUAGUUUUGCUACUCUAUGGUGCUAUAUUUUAUCCUGUUGUUGUAGAUAUAGCUUUGAUGGUUCUGCUACACAUUUUUUUGCUGCCACACACAUUGAUUUUCUGCAUAUGCAUGCGCAGAUUUGUGUGUGUCUUCUCAACUUUGUGUUAUCCUGUUGCUAUAUAUGUUUUGUAUGCUAUACAAUUUUGUUUUGCAGGAUCUUUCAAGUUUAAAAAUUACAACACCAGCAAACCAGAAAUUUGUCUUCAUCAAAUAGGGGGAGAUUGUUGAAGAAGAUGCUUUGAUGUCUCCAAAUCCAAGUGGAAAGCUUGAAGACCUUGUUGUUAGGUGUUAGUGAUGUUUAGUUGUUUGAAACUUGUUAAUUCACUCCUUAAGAGGAAUCCAAGUUCAAUUGGAUCUUUACCUUUUUGAAAAGAUGGGUUUUCUAAAAGGGUGUGAUUUUUCAACCUGUUGAAGUAUCGAUUCAAUCUGUUGUUUGACACUGAGUGGUUUUUAAAAUGGUUUGGAAAAGCUUAGGUUUGUUUUGGCUUUGCUGUCAAAUAGUUUCAACCGGUUGUUACGAUAAAUCAACUAGUUGUUUUCGUGAAAACCUUAACAAAAUUUUGUUAAAUGGUUUUAAUCUGUUUUAAAUGAUUCCAACAACUUUUGGUUUUUAAUUUAACUGCUUUGACCAUUUUAUUGGGGUAUAUAAAGGUUAUUUUACGCCCCUAUGCAUUAACUAAGAAAGAGAGAUUAAUCAAAAACAGUUUUCAAGAUUUCAAAAGCUUUGGAUCAUCUCAAGUGCGUGGAAUAGGAUUGAGUUUUGUACUUCUGAACCUUAAGCUUUGAUUUACCCAUAUGUAUUUUAUUCCUUUCUUCCUUGAACAUUGUAAUUUUGUGUGUUCUUGUGUAAGAAAAUUUCAGAAGGUGUUUCUGGAAACUGUGUUGUUUGCCAAAGAGUGAUGUGUUUUCUUGAAGGGUUCAAGAUCAUCACUCAUGGUGUGUUUAGUAAUCUAGGGUGUUGAUUACAUAAUGAAUUCUCAGUGGUUAGUUGAGGACUAGAUGUAUCUCUUGGAUAAGAGUGAACCAGUAUAAACAUCUUGUGUGAUUCUCUCUACCCCUACACUCAUAAAUUGUUUUAACAUUGUUUUUAAUUUCUGCUGGUAUAAACAACCGAUUGUUUCGUGAAAGCAACUAAUUGAUUUUCUGGAAUCAAACUUAAAAUAGUUUUUUAUUGGUUGAACAAUAUUUUCAAUUGAUUGAUUCUUCAUAGCUUUUCACUUUACCUUCAAUCUUUGCAAAAAUCUUUCAAAAACAAUUCAUCUCCCCCCUGUUUAGGCCUUUAAUUUUAACACAUGUAACAAACAUUAAAUCAAAUCAUAAAUACAUAUGGUUUAUUUGAUUGACGAUAGGGUUAAGUUUCAUUUGUCCAUUCAGAAUAUAAGUACAAAUCAAGGCUUCUAAAGUUACAUGCAUAGGAAAUAUUUUAAAGCUUAAACAUGAAGAAACAAAUAAUGUUUUUUACGUUUGUACCAGGUGAAUUCAUGUCAAACAACAAAAUACAAAAAUGUAUAAAGAUAUUAAUUAAAGUUUAGAUUACCAAAAACUUCUCUAACAAAGCUAGUUUAAACUCUAACUUAGUUGUCUAUCUCGUAAAGUGUACACUUUUAACCAAUAUUUAGUGUAAAAGGAUUUGUUACCGAAGAAAAUAAGUAUUGUCAGCUAUCAGAGAAGUUGUGUAAAGAAGAAAAGAAAAAUUAAACGUCGUGCAUUUAAUGUUUCCCAACAUAAGGGCUCAUGAUGAUGAUAGAAGAAAAUGAAAAGAGUUAAAGUUACUAAACGACCAAAAAUUAUAAUGCAAUGUAAAGGCUAUAAGAAAACAUGCUUUGAAGAAAGAUUACGCAAGAAAGAUAGGCAUAAUUUGCAAGUACGACUGUUGAAAUUUCUUUGUGCCCUAUUGUUUGUGUUCAUCUCCUCCUAUGAAUAAAGAGCUUAAACAUCAUAUACAUCAAAAGAUGCUACAUUCUCUAGUGAGCAAAACCAGUGAUCAAUUGAUUAUUUAGAUCUUGUAUAUGUGUUGAGCUAAGAGUGAUUAAUGUCAAGAAUACUUAGUAGUGGCUUGAUCAAAGUAGUCAUUUGUACUUUGCAACGGAAGACGGCUUAGUGGAACUUGACUAGUAGGUCAAAAACUAAAAGUAGUCUUUUUUUUUUCUUAAAUCUUUUACUUUUAUUCUUUUUAACUAACUAAAGAAUGAAGGAAAAAAUAAAACAAAAUUUUACAAAGAUUUCUCAAACCUUCUAUUUAUAAAUUUAUCAUCUAACAACAUAUAAAAAGACUAUAUUAGCGAAAAAUUGCAAACAAAAUUCAAAACACAAUUCAACACCACUUUCUUGUGUUAUUUUCUGUUUUUCACAAAAAUAAAUUUAUAUCUAAAUUAAAAUAAAAGUACUUAAGUUAAUUUAUAUCAUUUUUUGUCCAUAAUCUAAACUUUAAAUUAUCAAGGUACUUGUAGUAUGAAAACUAUUGGAAUAAGAUUGACAAUAGACGACGUUAAUUUUGUUUUGAUGUGGCAAAUGGAAUGUUAACGUGAACUAUUUUUUGACUUCCACAAUAUAUUUACAGGGAGAAACGAAGGAAAAAACAAAGAGUUACAAAGUUCAUCCCCUUUUGUCUUAGUUCACUAUGACAUUUGGGGACCAAUUCGUGUUAAGUCUAUCUUGUGUCAUAGUUUGUUUUCAUAUGAAAUAUGAGUGUAGUCUUUGAAUUGCACUUCCAUUAGUUUCCUUUGAAAUAAAAUUUGCAAACCAAAUUAUUUGAGUAUCUUUCUUAUAUUACGUUAUACAAUAAUAAAUAUUUAAUUUUAAAUAAAAAUAAAAUUCUCACAAAAUACAUCCAUGGAGACCAAAUAUACAAACUAACAAGUGUGAAAAUGGUAUUUACAAAAUAACUUUUUUACCUUUGAGAUAAAUAAGUUAAAUAGCUUACUUGUAGCAAAGUAGAAAGAAAGAAGUAAGGAUUCUAAUACAUUUAUAACAAGUGUACAUGAGAAGAAAAAUAAGAUUUAAUUUCUAGAAGAAAAAAACUAUAGAUUAUAAACUAAUUUUAGUUUAUGAAAAAAAAUAUUUAUUUUUCACAUAAAUUGUUUCAAUUUUUAAUUUUAACUUACACAUAAGUUAAUUUUAUCUUAAGAAUGAGUUUAUUUUAUUAUUUUCUCCUAAAAUUCUUUAGAGAAAUUUGUUUUAAAGCCCAUGGUUUAAAGCCCAAUCCAUCAUUAAUGAUGAACCUAAACUACCAUAGGGUGUUUCUUACUACACCCCAUCAUUUUCAUCCUUCAUUUUCCGAAAAGACUAUUUUACCCCUCUUAAAAAUGACUUUCAAAUUAUUUUUUCCUAAAUGUUUCCGAAACAUACUUUUCGAAACACAUUUUAUGAAUUAUGGAUUUACAGAAAUUAAAAAAAUGUGUUUAAAAAAAUAUUUCAAAAUGAUUUUUUUUGUCUUUCGAAUUUCCUGCUGAAACACCUUUUGCUCACACCUUUUGCUUCCACAACACUCCUAUUCCAGAAUUACCCAAAACUGUUAUGGGUAAUUUGGGUAUUUCGAAGAGUGUAGGGUUGUAGGAAGAAAAAUAAAUGUAAAGGUGCAGGAAGAAAACACCCCUACCAUGGUUCAAACACAUACAAAAUCAGAUCGAAAAGGACAAAAAUUCAUACAUAUCAUACAUAAAGGUGACUUCAAGAUCACAUAUAUCAUUGAUACAAACAUCAAUUCGUAUGAAAAGCAAAACAUCACAUACCAUUGUAGCAUAAACAUUCCAAAAUAAGCUACACUUUCUAACAAUUAUAAUGAGACAGAGAAUCCAUGAAACUUUACUGAGAUCAUACUCGACCAAAAUCCCUUGCAUCUUCUAGCAAACCAUUUUCCAAUACUAGAAAGAAAGAUAGUUAAGUAUCAAAAGCUACUCUCUAGUUCGUUCAACAACAUUUCAGACUCACCAUCCAUGUCUUCUCUGUCGUGGAUAUCAUCAUUUCUACCUAUUGUAUCAAUCUUGCUUGAUAAUCCAUCACCAGAUGAGCCAAUAAGUGAUGCAUAAGUUUUAUGUUUACUAAAUUUGGACAGCUUCAACAGUACAAUAAAAGUCUCAGCACUUUCCAUGUCACCUUGUUCUUGGCAAAGCUCAAGGAAUGCAGACAAGUUCAAGGGCUUUGGUCUCCAACUCCUUGAAUUAUCAGCAACCAUAAAAGCGUCUUUCAAGCAGGAUAAGGCCUCAGAAAUCCUCUUAUCUGCAAUGUAGCCCUCCGAGAGAAUCUCCCAUGUAUUUGAAUUUGGAAAACCACCAUCCUCCUUCAUCUGCUUGAAGAAACUCAAAGCCUUAUGAAUAUCACCUGCCUCAACAUACCAGCCUAGGAGAAGGUUUCCUACUCUAGGAUCAUAACUUGACUUUACAGAAACCCAUUCCUGAUAAAGUUUUUCGGCACCCGCAAUAUCAUCCAAUUUAACCAGAGAAGCAAUAAUAGCAUGGUAUCCCAAGUUUGGUGUAUUUUUUGGAAAAACUGUUUUGUACGAAUUCCAAACUCGAUAAACUUCGUCUUUGUUUCGAACACGUCCAUAUAAACUCAGGAGAUAAUGAAAAGGUAUUCUAUCACGACCUUUAAUUCUACUCUCAACCUUUCUUAAGCACUCUUCUGCUUUUUCAGUCUGAUCCAUCCUAAUGUACAUUGAAGCCAUUGUGCUGAAUGUAGACCAGUUAGGGAUAAUGGUAGCAUCUUUUUCCAUCUGUUCAAACACUUGUUCCAUCUUCUCUAUAGAUCCUUGGGAUCCAGAAGAAGAUAACCAGAUAUUAUAUGUAUAGAUAUCUAGCUGUAUCUUUUUUUCCAUCAUUUCAGAAACCAGCAUAUCAACUUUAACAUAUUCCUUUACGUUCAUGUACAAAGUCAUCAUUACAUUAAAUGGUAGUGCAUGUACUACAUAUCCUUUACUCCUCAUUGUGUCAAAUAAAGAUUCUGCCUUUUCCUUCAAUCUGGAAUGCACAUAUACAUUCAGAAGGGCACCAUAAGUCCUCUUAUUUUUUAACUGAUCUUCCAGACUCAGAAAAAAUACUUCUGCACUAGAAAACCCACGAACCUUUGCAAUUAGAUCUAACUGAAUUGCUGCAUCACUCUCAGAAACUCUAAACCGCUCUGGUCUAUUGUUUAUCCAAUCAUAUACCUGAACAUUUGUUCAUUGGUUUAAAAAAUUGUACAUGGCUGAUAUUAAGACAAUUGAAGCAAAUAAGAAAACCCAAUCAGAAAGAGCAAUAUUUUCAUAAUAACCUCCAAAGGAAGCAUGCCAUUAAAUAGAGUAGUGGCCCAAAAAUAGUUUUCCAGAUUAUGCAAAUUUUACUGACAGUAUCUGCAAAUCAGGAAUUAACAAUUAAGGAUGUUAUUAUAGAUGUUAUUGUAUACUUAUCCCAUAAAACCAAGUGCUAAGUAAAUAGUAAAUAGUAAAAAGGCAGCCUAGCUGAGAUGUCAAGUAGCACAUAACAUGAAAGCUUUUUAUAAAAAAAAUAGUAAAAAGGAACAUUUCUAAUUUAAUCAAGGGAAUAGAGCUACCAUGGAAUCAAUCAGGUCUUGUUGUAGUCUCUUAUAGCUCACUGUUCAUCCCUACUUCUUUAUUAGGAUUAUCUGUGAAAUGGACUUUAUUUAUGCAGAGUUUUAUGGUAACUUUGCAAGAACAAGCUAUACCUUUCUGACAUUGCCAAAGGGUACGAAGCAAUCUUUGAUUCUUCAGAAGGAAUGAUAGUCGGAUGAUGAUAAACAUAUACAGCUAUCCACACCAUAAACAAAAUAUAGUUUUGGAAAAGAUUAUUCUCUUAUAGCUGUUAGAACUUUUAAAUAAGGCAAGGGAAGAAGGAAAAAUGUUGAACAGAAAGAACGAUUUUUUGCUAAAUUUAUGGCAAAGAUAAUAUUGGACAUGUCCUUGCAUCGAGUAAGAUAAAAUUCCAAGAGAUAGAUGGUAAGCAAAACUUCUUUGGGAAACCACAAUUAACAGAUUUUCAUUUUCAUGCUCAUGGUCUGAAAAACCUUGGAAAGUUUGUGAAUAGGAAAAAGAAACAUUCACAGACUCAGUAGGUCUUCUGUCUGCACUGUUUAUUUUGUAUGACAUUUGUGUCUUUAGGCAGUUAUAGAUUUGAAUUAGUAUUUGUGUCUUUAGGAAGUCAUGGAAUGUGCCAAUUAUUGUUUGGUGUUUAUAUUCCAACUUGAAUCAAGUGCAAAACUGAAAUAAAAUGGCAUCGCCAAAUUACAAAAUCCUUCAUCAUGAACAAAUGGCAAUGCUCUAUAUUUCAACUCAUGCUAAAGCUGGUUAUCAACUACUGAACAUGAAGAAUGCUACCUAUAUACACUAGCAAAACUGUAGAAUCGUACUUGUAUAAUGUCACAAGGAAAACCAAAAUUGAAUCAAGUUGUUAACCUCAAGGAACAGGAUUUGACAAAAAAGAAUGUCACUAAACUGGUGAGUCCAAUGAAGGUGAAACUUCUCAACAAAAUAAAGGAAAAAGCUCUUGAACAUCAACUAUGCCUAAAAUCUGAUGAAAUAAACUCAAACAGCUAACACUCCAACCUCCCACUGAUAACGCAUUCCACCACUAAUAACUACGUAUCACAAUCUCUUCGGUAAAAAGUAAAACCACACAAACUCACAUAAAGAGAUAAAAGCACCCUAAAUGAAAAAGUGGUUGAAAGAUAGAGUUUUAACCUAGAGUACAAUUUAAAACCCUGGACCAAACAAUUAGCUUAACCAAAAAACAAAACCACAAAUCACAACCUCUUCCGUAAAAAGUAAAAAACACACACAGAUAGCCCCCAUGUUGGAAGAUAGAAUUUUGACCACAGGUGGAAGUGCAAUUUAAAUCCUUAGACCAAACAAAAAAAAAAAACUAUUCAGUUAAAAAACAACACAAACACACACAGUGUAGGAUUGCAGACCCCAAAUGAAAAAGUGGUUGAAAGAUAGAGUUUUGACUUCAAGUGAAAGUGCAAUUCAGAUAACUAGUUUCACAAAAAAAAAUAUCAUUAUCUCAUCAACCAAAUGAAAAAGAGAUUGGAAGAUAGAGUUUUCACUUCAAGUGAAAGUGCAAUUCAGACAAUUGGCUCCCCCAAAAAAGUAAACUAAUAUCACUAUCUCUUCAGCAAAAUGAAAGAGUAAAAAACACAAACACAUAGAGAGCGAGAGAUUAAAGCACCCCAAAUGAAAAAGAAGUUGGAAGAUAGAGUUUUGACCUCAAGGGCUCUCCGAAACUUCUUGUACUUCCUCAACUCCUUGACGACUCUGGAGAGUUCCCACUUGGUGAGGUGUUUGCCUUCGUUCUCCCACCGGUUGAGCACCUCGGCGGAGCUCAUGUCGGGGUCCGGGUUGAGCGUUAUCCGGCGGUACACUUCGUUCCACCGCACAAUGGGGCGACGCUCGUAGUCCACGGUGCCAUAGCUGUGGACCUUGGAGACGGAACACGUUAUCAGAGGGAGGCACGUGGCGCGUGUAAGAGCGAAGGGGAGAGUGGAGGAAGAGAGCUUGAAGGGGAAAGAGUAAGAGAGCGAAGAAGAGAGAGAAAGGGUUUGGUUGUGAAGAGAAGAUUCAAGUCUAAGAACACUCAUUUUUCUCUCUCUCUCUUUCUCAGUCAGUGAAAUGAAGUAGUUGCAGGGAAAUGGUGGGUUGAAGAUAACGGUAACACUCUUUUACGAGUUUCAACCAUGUCAAUAAAUAUAUAUCUAAAAUAAUUGAUUUUGAUAAGUUUGAUUUGCUUUUAAUACAAUCUACUUUUUUUAUUUUACUUUUGUGUAUAAAUAAAUUUUAAUUUUAAUACUUAUUUUUUAGAGGUUAUUAAUAGUUUAAAAACUCUUAUAUGACAAUUUAAAACAUUUAAGUUAUUGUAUUAAAUAUAUUUUAUUUAUGACAAAUUUUAGUUAUAAUAAAUUUGACAGUAUAUGUUUAUUAUGAAUUUUAAUUAUAUGGAACUAGCCACUUUAAUUUUUUUAAAUUUAAGAGUUGGGAUAUGUUUGUUGGUAAAAUUAAUUACAAAUUUGCACUUUUAUUAAAAUUAAUUAAAAAAAUAUGAUUUAUUUAUUUGUAAAUUUUAAUCGUUUAUAAUUAAAAUAUUGUUUCAAGUAUUAUCUAAGAAUUAAUUAACAUGUGAAAAAAAUAUAAAUAAUGUAUAAUUGUCAAAACAUGAAAAAUUAUUAGAAAAUGUAUUAUUUCAAUUAAAAAAUUUAAAUUUGUAAGUGUAAAAGGAUGUGCGUGAAAAUUUGGAAAUACAUUUAAUUUUAAUAAGUUAAAGCGAAAUUUAUUAAUAAAGUGCACAUGGAACGAAUAUUAAAAAGAGUACAUUAGAAUGAAGAAUAUAUAUAUAUAUAUAUAUAUAUAUAUAUAUAUAUAUAUAAAGCUCAUUAUAAUAAUGUUCUAGAAAAUAAUAAAUAUACUCAAAUAUUUAUCAUUUAAAAGAGUGAAAAAUUAUGAAGUUCAUUCGUCUUAAUUCUUCUAUGGAUCCUGUGUACUGAUAUUCAUAAGGUUAUAAUGGACCUAUAUUAAUUGUUGUGAUUAGCUCCACCUCCAUAUGUUCUUAUGUAAUAUUUCGAAUUAUAUAAUUUAGAAGUCUUUUUUUAAAUUUGUAAUUUUAGAUUUUUUUUUCAGAUACAUGAUUAUUUUCGAGAUUACAUAAUCCAGAAAUCUUUUUUCAAAUGCGUGUCCGGAUUACAUAAUCCGAAAACUACUCUAUGGGAGUGACACAAGAAGGAUAAAAAAAUAUUUUCAUAUUUUGUAUAAGAGUGUUUUGUAUGGGGGUGGCAGAAGAACCUAUAGAGGAGCACGAGAAACAAUCAUAGCCUUUGUAUCCUCGCCCCUACUAGUACAGUUGAUUAACAAAGGAAAGAAAUAAGAGACUUAAGGCUAAAGUAUAUUUUAAUAAUUAACAGCAUACAGAAUUAUAUUACUAAAUAAUUAAAAUGUGUAACUAAAUUAACUACCAUAUCUACCUAUGAAAAAUGUGUUAUUCAUAUAUGCAUGUUUAUAUGGCACCAAUGCUUUCAAAAGUUAUUUGUCAUGUACUUCAUUGAUAAUGAGAAUGUACAUACGAGUACAAUAAUUUUUCUUGUAGUAUUUCGAACAUUGAUUCCUCUGAUGUAGCUAUAUCAGAUUUUUCAAUUAGAGUAGAUUCAUACUGGUUCAACAAUCUGAUAUGGAAUAACUUGAAAGCUUUUGUUAGUAGGGGUCACAAUACCAACUUUAGUCAAAAUUACUCACCGCUCUUCCUCAUUGGUAUCUAAGAAAAAAAGGACAAAAAGGAUACCCACACCCUUCAAACCUGACGAUCUCAAACAGACUAACAUACCAGACAAAUCAUAAUGAGCAGCCAGACCAAUUUUGGCUGACAAUAUUCUGGUUUUCUAAACUUCCAUGGACAUAAACUUUGGGCUCUUUAACCUGCAAAGGGUGAAAACAAGGAUCAAUAAUUCUGGAAUGAACAAAGCAUUCAUUGUUUGAGCUGGUUGUGAAUACUGAUAGCAACUGCCAACCAGUAAAAUGGGUGGAAAGCCAGAUUUCAAGCGGACUCUUGAGAAUCCAUCUUCAGUAAAUAGGCACUUGAAUCCAUUGAUCACAGGAUGUUCACUGUUAAAAGAUCAACAAGGAAGUCAGAUAAACCGGAAAAUUUCUUGCAAUCAGGCAAUGCACUGACAUAUGAAAAAUCUAUAUAACUUGCAGUUCAAGAUUUCCAAACGUUCAUUUCAUUCCUCUCUAUCACGGGCACUUCUACACAGAAAGAUGACCGAAGUCAUAAAGAAAAUUUAUUCAUCCAAGCACCUAAUGUUAAAUAUUAUGUCUGUUAGAGAUGUAAUACAAAAUCAUUCAUGCAUCUUCGCUUAAUUAGCUUAAGCUUUUGGGAUAGUAGGUCCAUAACAUGGUAUCAAUACUUCCAAACCAAGUGUUACAGAUUUCAGUCCAUGCUGCAACAUUCUUGCAAUAAAUAUUAAAUAAAUUUCAGCACAACGUUGGUGGGAUUGCACACUGUUUAUGAUUCAAGCCAAAAGAGAUGAUGCAAGAAAUGUAUUCUAGAUGUAAUAUAAAAUUAUUAACGUGCCUUUAAACUAUACAUAAGCUUCAAGAAAGUUGGUUCAUGGCAAUGACCAUUAUGAACACAACAUAUGGUGAUGAAGUCCUUGCCAACACACAUACUCUUCAAGGGGAUCUAAUGUAUCAAGUUCAUCAAUUUUAUUUCACACACUUGCUCACUUGACAAUACUAUCUUUUGGCAAUAUCUCUCAUCAUAAACAUAGCAUGUGCCAUACAAUUUAUGUUUGGUCAAGUACUAGUCUAGAAGUAAUAUACCAAUCUGUUAAUAUAACUCACUUUAUAAGAAAAGUAAAAUUUCUAUGGUGAAAUUCUUCCAAACUAAUUUGUUCUUCUUUAGAAUACCUGCACCAAAGAAUUCAAGAAAGUACAUUAGAGUCCGAAAAUAGUGGGAAGCAACAUGGUCUGGUCAUCACGAAUUGCAAGCAAUCAACAUAACAAUAAUAAAAAGUAUACUAAUAAUACCUUGUUAACACUUAAAUCUUUCCCAUUACUAUCAUAGAUCAUGUAAACAGCAUAUGCAAAAAACAAUCUGCAUAAUCAUCAUGAGUUAAUAAAUGUUAGGAGGAGUCCCCCUCUUAACAUUCAAAUCCAGAAUUGGACUUGCUACAGCAACAAAUAGUAUAGAAGGCUGUUAGGAACCCAGAAAAAGAAAAAACGAGACACAGAAAGAUAGAGAUAGGAUGCUGAGAAUUCCUCUGUUUAUUGAGAUUCACUGUUACAGGAAGUCAAACCUUCAAAGGGAACAACCUCCCUUUCUCACAGGACUAUUCCUGUUGACACAAUCUAAUCCUCUCCAAAAACUCCCCUUCCCAAAACCUGUUGGUCUUUAUUUAAAGACCAACCAUACCCCCACUAACCACUAACCGCUCCCUUAGCGGUUCCUAAUGUUUCUCCUAUGGUACACCUUUCCUGUCAUUUUCCUAUUCUUAUUUUCUGUCCUAACAUUACUCCCCUCUGAUACAGCAACCUUGUCCUCAAGGUUGAAUUCAGGAAAUUGUUCUUUGAUUGUUGUCAUGUCCUCCCACGUAGCGGUGUCCCUCUCUCCUUUAUUCCAUUUUAUCAAUAGUUGUGGAAUAUAUGCUCCUUGGGUGAACAAUCUUCGUCUAUCCAGUAUUUCCGUUGGAUGCCAUUCCUCUGUCGGACCUUGCAACUCCCUAGGGAGCUCGGGUUGAACUUCUUGUGUCCCUAUUGCUAACUUCAGUUGCGAUACAUGGAAGACCGGAUGGAUUCGAGCUGUUUCUGGCAGCUGUAGGCGAAAAGCCACCUUUCCUACGGCAGCCUCCACUUGAAACGGGCCGUAAUACUUGGCUGCCAGCUUUGGAUGUAAUCUGUUUGGCAUUGACAGUUGUCUAUGGGGCCUGAUUUUUAAGUAGACCAUAUCACCUACUUUAAUUGGGGAAGGUCUCCUAUGGCGGUUGGCGUAUUUAGACAUCAUAUCCUGCGCCCUUUCCAGGUGAAAUUUGAGUUGUGAGAGAGCCUCAUCCCGGUUCAUUAGAUCCUGUUCCACUGCCUCUACCAUCGUCUCUCCGGGAAUAAAGCGUGUCAAGGAUGGUGGGGGACAACCAUACACUACUUCAAACGGUGUACACUUGGUCGCUCCAUGAAAGCUGGUGUUAUACCAGUAUUCCGCCCACGGAAGUAACGUCGCCCAUACAUUAGGUUGUUCCGAACUAAAACAACGUAGGUAUGUUUCCAACGUUCGAUUCACCACUUCCGUUUGACCGUCUGUUUCGGGGUGAUAGGCCGUGCUCAUCUUCAACGUCGUCCCUUGCAACUUAAACAAUUAUUUCCAAAACAGGCUUAGAAACGUUGAAUCCCGAUCACUGACUAUGGAUGUGGGAAUGCCAUGUAAUCUCACUACCUCCUUAACAAAAACCUCCGCAAUAGAUCUCGCCGAAUAUGGGUGUUUAAGGGCGAUGAAAUGACCAUACUUGCUAAGGCGAUCCACUACCACCAGUAUUGCGUCCUUCUCGCAUGAUUUCGGAAGCCUGACGAUGAAAUCCAUACUUAUCUCCUCCCACACCGUUUUCGGAAUAGGUAGAGGUUGUAGCAAUCCUUGUGGUGAACACGCCUGAUAUUUGCUCUGCUGGCACACUGCACAGGCGUGGACGUAGUCCAUCACACUCUUCUUCAUGUUCAUCCAGUAUAGCGACUGACCUAUCCUUCUGUAGGUGCGGAAAACUCCUGAAUGUCCACCCAACGGAGUCGUAUGGUAUUCGUGUAGUAACUUGGGUAUCCAACUGGAAGACGCCGGCAGCACCAUUCUACCCUUGUAAUGAAGUCUCCCAUUUUCCAGGGUGUAAUUCCCAUGUGACUCCGGGUCGCUCUUCAAGUCCUCCAUGAUCUUCUUUAGGGUAGGAUCUUGCUCGUUUUCUUCUUCCACUAAUUCGAUGUCCCUCCAAUAAGGUUUGGACAAGAUAUUCAUCUCCUUAACUCUGUCUUCCUCUUCCUCCAGCCUUCGAGACAGCGCGUCUGCUACCCUAUUGGUCGCUCCCGGUUUGUACACAAUAUCAAAGUCGUACCCCAUCAACUUUGCUAACCAAUUUUGUUGGUUCUGGGUGGUUAUUCGUUGUUCCAAAAGGUAUCUCAGACUCUUUUGGUCAGUAUACACUGUGAACCGCCAACCUAUCAGAUACGGUCUCCAGUGUUGAAUAGCCAACACUAAGGCCAUUAACUCCUUUUCAUAUACAGAUUUGGUGAGUGAAGUCUCAGCUAAGGCCUUGCUGAAGAAAGCAAUAGGUUGUUUGUUCUGAGAUAACACUGCUCCAAGUCCUGUCCCCGACGCAUCACAUUCAAUACAUAAAUCUUGACUGAAAUCUGGCAUCUUCAGCACCGGAGCUGUGGUGACUGCUGCUUUCAACUUGUGUAACGCUUUCGUGCUUUCUGCUGUCCAGACAAAAGUUCCUUUCUUUAAUAGUUGUGUCAAAGGCCUAGCCAUUUUUCCAUAGUUAUAAACGAAUCUCCUAUAGUACCCCGUGAGACCCAAAAAACCCCUUAGGGCCUUCAAGGACUUAGGUAUUGGCCAUUGCAGUAUAGCCGAAAUCUUCUGGGGGUCCAUUUGAACCCCUUGACCAGAUAUGACGUGACCCAAAUAUUGUAUCUCCCGCUGGCCAAAAUCGCACUUCUUGUGGUUGGCAUAAAACUGGUGGUGCUGCAGGGUUUCUAAAACUUGCUUCAAAUGGUCCAGGUGUUCCUCCCAAGUUUUGCUGUAGACCAAAAUAUCAUCAAAGAAGACCAAAACAAACCUCCUUAAAUAAGCUUGUAGAAUGCUGUUCAUGGUGCACUGGAAGGUGGCAGGCGCGUUUGUCAACCCAAAAGGCAUUACCAGUGACUCAUAAUGUCCAUGGUGGGUGCGAAAAGCGGUCUUCUGUAUAUCCGAUUCAUGCAUGCGAAUUUGGUGAUAUCCUGCCCUGAGGUCCACUUUAGAAAAAAAUUGCGCCCCAUAUAGUUCGUCUAACAGUUCUUCAACCCGAUGUCAAUUUGAAAUAGUUAAGCAUUGCCUUGAUUGCAAACACACUAUCCACACAAAACCUCCAGCUGCCAUCCUUCUUCUUCACGAGGAUCACCGGACUAGAAUAGGGGCUGUUACUGGGUCUAAUUAUUCCACUCUUCAUCAUUUCCUCUACCUGUUUUUCUAUCUCUGUUUUCAGCACAUAGGGAUAUCUAUACGGUCUUACAUUGAUAGGAUCCGUUCCAGCUUUGAUCGGAAUCUUAUGGUCAAUUUCUCUGUUGGGUGGUAGCUGUUUGGGUUCUUCAAAAACCCCUUCAUACUCCUUCAGGACGUUCUCCAACUCUGCUGCUUGUGACCCUGUUAAUUCAGCAGAAUCCUGGAUAAUUCUGGAUUGGUCUAAGACUGAAACUUCAGCAUUUUCUAUUCCCCACACAAGGGAUACUGCUUCAAUUUCUUUCUCUUUUUUUAGAGCUUUUGGCGUCACCAACAUUCGAGCUAAUUUGGGCUCUCCUCGGAUGUGCACUUGCUUUCCUCCCCUGCAGAAACUCAUGGUCAAAGUCUUCCAAUUAAUUUUCACUUCCCCCCGAGUCGCCAACCAUGCCACUCCCAAAAUCAUGUCCACCCCUCCUAGCUCAAAUACGAAGAAUUUCUCCUUGAUUCCAUAAGUUCCCAGCUGUACUUCCACCUCUGGGCAACAUCCGCUUGCAGAUUUUUUGUAGCCAUCCCCUAGCCUCACCGUAUAAGUUGGUGUUGCUUCAACUUUUAAACCCAAUUGACUUACUAACUCUGUUGAAAUAAAGUUGUGACUGGCCCCACUGUCAAUUAGCACCAGUGCGGUUCUUCCCUCCACGGUGCCUUGUAAUUUCAUGGUGUGUGGUUGUGUUAAGCCCUCGGCCGAGAAAAUGGACAGGUCCAUUUCUGGGUUUCCCCUCUCUUCCUCCUCAUCAUGACCAUUCUCUUCACUCAAAUCCCCCUCCUCUUCCGCACAAAUGAUCACCCUCAGAUUUUUCUCUGGGCAGCGGUGGCCCGGGCUAUAUGCCCCGCCACAGUGGAAGCACCUGCCCUCUUCUCUCCUUCUAACGUACUCGGGGUACGGAAGCGUCCUCGACCCACGGUUCCUGGUGCUCUCCCCUGGCCGAGCCUCCCUGUUAGUCGUGAUCGUCUCCUUCCUGGCGUUACUAGCCAUGCUCGUUGCACUCGAUCCACCGCUUCCCCUCGUCACGUCGGCGCGACUCACUAUUCCCGAUCGACUGAAAGUGGUGGCGUUCCGAUAACCGCUAAUCCCCUUAAUUUCCUCGUUGAACGCUUCCUCUACAUCAAGAGAAAUCUCCAUUGCUUUCAUCACUUCCUUCGGAUCAUGGGGUCGGAUUUGAUUUCUAAUCCUAGGUUGUAGGCCCGCAAAGAAAUAGCCCAGCAACUGUUCUUCUCCGGUUUGUGGGGCUUGAGAUACCAAUCCUUCAAAUUCUUGGAUGUACUCCUCCACUCUCCCCUUCUGUUUGAGCUUGGCCAAUUUCUCGAAAACGGAGCUCCGUUCUUUUCCCCCCAAAUCUGCGAAUCAGAGCUAAAGAAAACUCCUCCCAAGAUUGGUUCUUGGAAUUCUUUCUCCAGAAAAUGAACCACGAACUAGCGCUGCCUUCCAGGCUGAUGAACGCUAACUUUAAUUUUUCCCGUGCUGAAAUAUUCUGUACCUCAAAGAACUUCUCGGCCCUAGCCAGCCAUCCAAUCGGGUCUACUCCCUCAAACAUCGGAAGUUCUAUUCUCCUCGACCAUGGUCUUCCUUCGCUUUCGUCCUCAUACUCCGAUUUGCUACUCUGUUUUACCCGCUCAUCCCUUCUUUCUUCCCCAUUUACUGAACUUUCUCCUCCGUCCGAUAAUCGGUCCCCCUUCUUGAGGUUCCGCAGCAUUUCCUUGAUGUCUAUGAUGUCGUCCUUCAACCCAUUGAUAUCAUUUCUUAAUUCCAUCAUCACUCUUCCUUGAUCGCUGGUCAACUUCUCCAAUGCACUCGUCCUCUGUUCCAUCCUCCACCUCUUCUUUCUCGCCCCCAAGCUUCCCUUCGGAUCUGGCAGGUCGGACCAAUUGUUAGGAACCCAGAAAAAGAAAAAACGAGACACACAAAGAUAGAGAUAGGAUGUUGAGAAUUCCUUUGUUUAUUGAGAUUCACUGUUACAGGAAUUCAAACCUUCAAAGGGAACAACCUCCCUUUCUCACAGGACUAUUCCUGUUGACACAAUCUAAUCCUCUCCAAAAACUCCCCUUCCCAAAACCUGUUGGUCUUUAUUUAAAGACCAACCAUACCCCCACUAACCACUAACCGCUCCCUUAGAGGUUCCUAAUGUUUCUCCUAUGGUACACCUUUCCUGUCAUUUUCCUAUUCUUAUUUUCUGUCCUAAGAAAGGCACUCACAAGUAAAUGUUUAAAAAUGUAAACCCUAGAAUCACAAUGAUGGCUCAUCAACUAGAGAUAAGGUGUUAACUAAUAAACUUGAAUAUGGUGAGCAUCAGGAAAAAUAGAUCAAGGUUCAUUGUGUUUUCAUUAGUCCAAUGAGAAAGACAUUCACUAAUCAUUCUCACUAUGCUCAGAAAAAGCCUGCAGUCAACCAAAUACCUACAUACUUCAGCAACAUUAUCAAGGCCUCCAUUACAUGCCUUCCCACAGGAAAUUACCUCUAUGUCAUACUCAAUUACAGUUUCAAGAUCCAGAAGCAGCUUGACCUUGGGUCCACAUGAGUAUCACUUGGAAGACAGUCAAGCAUACUAGUCUUAGUGAAGAUGUCCAGUGCAUAUUUUCUCAGGGAAAUGACAACGUCAUCAUCUAUGAUGAUGUUGUCAUCAACAUUCACACCAAAUAAAUGCAUAAUCAGGUGAACAAUGUAGGGAAAACAGAGUAAUUAGUCUUACAAUGACUCAUACCAAAUUGGAUUAAGGUAGAGUUAAAGCAUUCAAACCAGGCAUGGGGAGACUCUUUCAAGUCAUUCAGAGGGUGUCAAAGGUGGCAUACAAGGUGAGAUCCACCAGAGAUGAUGAAAGCUUGAUAUUGUUACAUGUAAACCUCUUCUAGCAACUCUCCAUGUAAGAAGAAGGCAUCCUUAAUGUCUAGUUGGUUAAGCAGCCAAUAACCGAUGACAACCAUUGCAAGAAUUAGACACACAAAAGUUAUUUGGCAACAGGGGAAAGAUGUCACCAUAGUUGUUUACAAAGAUCUAAGUAUAGCCGUUAGCCACGGAGCGAACUUUGUACCAAUCAAUAUUGCCAUCCAGUCCAACCAUCAGAAUAUACACCCAAUGACAACCAACAACAGGCUUCAUGAGAGGUAAGGGAACCAACUCCCAAGUAAUUGUGCAUUACGAGCACAUACAUGAUUCUCUAUUUAAAAGGAAAAGAACAACACAAUGAAAAGAAACAAGAAAUAUAAAAUGUAAUCCCUAAAUAAAAUUAAUGCUGUAUAAUAUUUCCUUACAUAAUUAUAUCUUUAACAGGAUCCAUGCAAUUAACUUGAUGCAUUAUUAGUACAGCGCAAAAAGAAUAGAAACAAAAUAUACCUCCAUGGCAAAUCACUUUCACAAAAGCGAGAUAUCCCAUUCAUGGCUGAAAAUGUAUCAAUGUGCACCAACUGUUCAUCUGUGUCAUUAUGAAAACCUGCAACAAUUAAAAAAAUUAACACAUACAUCAAAAGUAAUGACAAGGAGCCAUAUGAAAAGGAUCAUCCAUGUAGCAUUCAAUUUUUUCAUCCUUUGUUGAAAUUUCCUUUUUUUAAUUUAAAUGAGAAUAUUUUUCUGGCUUGGAAUUAUUCUAGGUCUCAAAGACUGCUCCUUUGACUCCUAUUAAGAUGAAAGGAAUUUGGAGCAAGAAAAUCAAUUGUACACAUCAAAACAAUCGUGUUACAUCAACCGAACACCAGAAAAAUAUGCUUAAAUGAUACAUUGAGUGUAGAAAUAAUAAUAGUUUCUUUCUAACACAACUCACCAAGCUAGAACAUUAGCUUAUUUGUGACAAAGGUAGUUUAAGAAGAUAUCAUGCAAUGACUUGUCAAGGGCCAGGGACCUCAAACAAUAUUUUGUGAAAAUAUCUGCUUGUUGAGCAUUUGGAUUGACAAAACAAGUUAUCAUGUCUGUAGAAUGGAUAUUUUCUUAUAGUGACAAUCUACAUCAUUGUGCUAAGUCAUCCCCCUAGAAAACAAGAUUGGAAACAAUAUGGAAUGCUUCUUUUGGUUAUCACAAUAAGUAUCACAAACACUGCCUUUGUAUUGUCCUUGAGAACCACUAUUGCAUCUUGGUCCAUGAAUAAAUUACCAAAAGCUCUGAACGCCAAAAGGGAAAGCUUAGGCAUAUUUAUUGUGACUAUAAUUGUUAAAUAUUUUGCUCAAACCCCUGACCAAAGAACCACACACAGUUUAUUCUAAAUAUCCUUUUGAGAAUUGGGAUAGAGAUUAUCAUUAUUUUUUUGGAAUACUAGUAAGAGAAUAAGUCUCAAUAAAGCACAUCAAAGUCACACAUCACUUAAUUUAAUCCAGAAAUGUCACAUAAGAGUGUACAUGCAGGAACUGUGUAUCAGACGACACAUACGAUCCUCUAUUUAUAAUUACUAGUAACUAUACAAUUGGGUAAAGAAAGAAAUAUCUAACAUAAUCCCCAAAUGUAACCUAUAUAUUUUUUCCAUAUUUACAUUAUCAUAUCUUUAUCAUCAUACAAAAUGAACCAUACCAUGAAAAUAACUUCUAGAAGAAUAAACUGUGACCAAAAUAUCAAGCUCAGUGACCCAUAUUAAAAAAAACGAUACUUAGUAAUCCUAUGAGAAUCCAACAGUCCAACAAUAUUAACAACUUUUAACAGAACUUGCCACUGUUAAUUGUGAAAAACAGAAACUACAACACACUAUUUUUACCAAAUGAAGGAUCAAACAAGAAGCAGUUUCUCUCUAGGAAAAUUCUAGCAAAAUACUUUGCAGCCAAGGCAUGGAUAUUUCAGGACUUAUGUACUCACCAAUUCCGUGCAAUUCUUUUAAGGCAUACCCACUAGGAUAGUUCCAGUAUGAUGCCAUGAAACUUGUGAUGGUGCCUGCAAGACUGCAAGAUAGAGAAUAAGUACAAAAAAAUUAUAUAUCCACUACCAAUGAAACAAAUGACUAUUGAACCAACCUCACUAAAAGUAAUGCCAACAAAAUGAGGAAAAGCAAGUUCCAAAUCAUCUUUUUCCUAUUGUUGUAACUGAAACAUUUGAGGAUGCAUAUUAAUGAAGAUUAGCAACUUAAAAGGGUAAGAAACCAAAAAACAGAUAUAACUACUAAAAAAGUGAAACAUCUGCAAUUUUCAUCUCUGUUUAUACUAUAUAGAAUGUAAAUACAGUUCAGUUCAAUCAUCACUUCAAAUAUACCCUGCAUUUCUCAUCCUGAUUACAACUCCUCCAUUCAUUCUUCAACCAAUCUCAUCAACAAGCUACACAGAUAAGCAAAGUCAUGGGAUUUACAAAUAUAUUGAACACAAACUGGAUCCAGACUAAAGUUAUGUAUUUUGCUUCUCUUUUGGCACUCAACUCAAAUUGCAGCAGCUUCAACAGUUUGUACCUUGCAUAGAAAAAUUGACCACCUGUGCUGCUUUCUUAGUUUUCUCUUUCCUAUUCUCCUUUGGUUCCAGAUUUCUAGUUUAGCUGGAUCAAUUGUCCUCGUAAUUAUUCUUUACUUGUUUUAUAUCUAGUUAACUUGUUUCUCUAUAAAAAUGGCUAGAUGACAAUGAACAUAAUAAUGUAUUCCAUACUAUUUGCAUCCCCAACUAGUAGGUUAAUGGUUUUUUUGUUGUCAUUGUAAAACUAUAAACAUAAAGACAAUCAUUGAGCUGAAACUGUGUUUCUAUGACAGCAUAAGUGGUUUAUUUAUAUCGAGAAAAAGAAAUCAAUACAGUGAAUAAAGGAGAUUUCAUAUCCUUUUAUAAUAAAGAUAAGAUCCUAGAAUAAUACAUCUUGAUAUUUCUGAUGGUCCUAAUAUCUGUAAUUAUUAUAAAGAUAUGAUUCUUAUUUCUUUAAUCAUAACAUUUUCCCUCAAGCUGGAACAUAUAAGUCAUAUGUCUUCAACUUGCUACAAAUGUGAUUGAUCCUUGUUCCUCGUAGAGAUAUAGUGAAUAUGUCAAUCAGAUAAUCACAAGAGUUGACAAAUCAAGAUUAAUUCAUUAGUGAAAUGCUGUCAAUUUUGUGCCAUUCUCACUCUUUACCUAAACUCUCUUAGGAAUAGGCUUUUAAUCUUCAAACCUUCACCUACAAAGGGAGUAGGCCGAACCACUCCUACUCUUCAUACUUCUCAUGCACCACCUCCAAGGCUAUCACAACUCCUAGGAGAGCUUUGUUCCACCAUCAAACCAUGGAGCUUCCGCAUUCCUCAACAAAAACCGCAAGAAAGGAGACACAAAUCCAUCAGAUAUGAUAUCUCCAAACUUCAGUUUUUUCCUUGUGAAAUGAUAAUCUACCUCAAUGUGUUUGAUUCUUUCAUGAAAGAUAGAAUUAAAGGCAAUGUGUAAUGGUGUCAAGUUGUCACAACACAACAUAUAAAAUUUUCUACAAAUUUAAGCUAUUUCAUUCAGAUGCUGCUUCAACCAUAUGAGCUUCCAGGUGCUAAAGUCAUUGUCCUGUAUUCUGCUUUUGCAUUUGAUCUUGCUACAAUAUUUUAUUUCUUACUUUUCCAAGAUAUUAAAUUACCUCCAACAAGAACACAAUUUCCUAAAGUAGAAUAUCUAUCAGCUUCAAAAUACCUAACAAUUUGAGUACUCCCCUUAUCUUUGUAAAUGAGGCAAUUUGCUAAGGACAUUCUUAAUAUAUAUUAGGGUUUGUACAACUACAUUUUGACAAGGAGAACUCAAAAAAUGACUUGCUUCGCUCACUGCAAAGGCAAUGUCAUGACGAGUCAAAAUGAGAUAAUUUAGCUUGCCAACUAACCCUUUAUAUAUCCUAGGAUAUAAGGCUCUCUUUGGCCUAGUACCAGUUUGACUCUUUGGAUCCAUUCGUGUGUCUAGUGGCUGUAUUUAACAUCAUUGUUUCUUCUAAAAUAUCCAAAGCAUAUUUCCUACGUAAUGGUGUCCAGUUGUCACAACAUAUAAGUUCUUGUAAUUAUCACAGUCAUGUUGAAUUUGAAACUAAAUUACAUGAGAAAAAUGAAAUUUCACACAUAAAUGACCUCAAACCACCUAUUGUUGUAAGUGCAAUCAAAAUGUCAAAUGCUUUGGGUUCAUUCAAUGAUGUUAAUUGUCUUGUUGCCUUCACUUGGCAACUAACAAAAUGAAUAAACAUAUAUAUUGUAUUGUUAGAACUUAUAUUACUGAAGCACUAUUUGUGAAGCAGAAACAUGGCUCAAAACAUACACUUCCCCAUGUUGGAACCAAAUUAGACAUGACACAAAAGUAGCAUGGAAGCGGUGUCGGACAUAGCCUAGUCAAUGACCAUGUCGAUGAUGACACAACCCAACCUCUUACACGGACACAACCCCUCAUUCCUUUGGUAAUACUCUUUCAAUCGUUUUUUGCUUCUACCAUGUAUCUUUUACUCUUGUUGAAGUUGUUUUGCUAAGAGAAGCAAUGUAAGCAAGACAAAUAAGGAGAACUUUCUUAUCAUCAUGGAGGUUGGACCACAAUCACGACUCUCAUGAAGAAGCUCUCUAAUGGCUACUGUGUCUUUGGAAGAUCCAUGGACAAUAUUGUUUUUGUCUCUCAAACCAAGCUUUGGGCUCUACGUUUCUCCUCUCAAUUUGAUGAUUACCAAAAGAUUUUUUACUCUAUUGAAGCUUCACUCAGUUCCUCAAUUUCAAUUCUAUAACUUCUGUACCUCAACAAGAGGAAAAGCAAUGAUGUUUGGCACUUGAGGCUCGAUUACUCAAGCAUCUUUGACAGAUUCAGGAACCUUGACAUUGUUGUGCCUCUCGAGGAGCUAGUUGAUGAUUCUAUAGAGAAAGAUAGCUUCCCUACACAAGAAGUUUGCUUUGUAAGUUUCUUUUUUCUUUCAUUUUUGUGUUAGGGUUUUAACUUUAUGUGACUCGGAAUAAUGAAUGUGCUUUCAUUUUGGUGUUUUACUUAGAAUCCCUAUUCAAUUCAGGAAUUUUCGUUCUUUGAACUAGCAUUCAAUUCCGAGUCUCUUUCCCUUUUGAACACUUUGUCACUUCAUGAACCAAAUUUAGGAGUUGUAAUUUUAAGUAAUGACCAACAAUUCAUAGUAUUUAUCUUUUUGUAAGGCUCUUUAUUAUGAUGAUUUUCGCUAGAUUUUUGUUGUGGACUAUGAUGGAAUAUGAUGCCUCUUACUAAUUUGUUUUUGAGACUUAAUAAGUUACUAUCAUAUCCUUUGUCAUUUUCAGAUUAUAUGUGUGUGUGGGUGUGCAUGUCCUAUCUCUCUGUCCUAUGUUUUUUUAUUUUGUUGUGUCCUUGUUUCCAUGUAGUGUCUGAAUUAAUGCUACAUAGAGCGUUAUACCAAGCCCAGUCCAGAAGAACCAAUACAUAUAGAGGAUGAGAAAGAAGCUUUGUAAAUUGAAAUAACUUGCUCCAAUGUAUUAUAGCAAAUGCUAGUUAUUCAAUUUUUCAAGCUACAAAGGAUAAUGAACCUCAACCCAAAUUUUACAUAAUUUAAGCAAGGAAUAUGCAUGAUUCUUGAUAAACCAUACAAUAACCUCAUACAACCACCCGUAAGGCAAAAUUCAAGUUUGUCUGAAAUAAAAGGGCAACUUCCACUCAAGUCCUCACAGUCAAGAAUUGCCAUUUGUGACCCAAGCUUAAUGCCUUGGUCUAAUGAGCCUCGCGACAGGCUGACGCAGCAUUAAAAAUGUUGAGAAUAUUGUUCAUAAUCCAAUAACAAAUGACAGAGAAUACAUGGUAAUGCCAUAGAAAUAAGGAAGGGAUAGCAAAUUCAUUCAUGUUUUAAAAUCCCAAUUACUUGUUUUCCCCUAAUAUCCAUUUUUGGUUGCACUUUAGUAUCCGUGAUCACACAGUGCAAUAAGUUUAGAAAAUAAAAAAUAGAACCCAAUUAAAUUUUAAAGACAUGUAUAAUACUCAUAAAGAGAACUUACAUUCUAUUAGAAGCAAUUGAAGCAGAGACAUUAAAUAUUGGAACUGAACUAAUGAUAAAACGAAGCUCCUGCAGUAUGCGUCAGAAUAAUAUUGAAUAUAUGUUUCAGUUUGAAGACAGACACACAAAUUAAGCAUCGGAUUUCACAUUAUAAAUAUAGUACCUUGUGAGGAAGCUUAGAAUAAAGCAAAAUAAAGGCAAGAACUGGAAAAGUGAAAGUUCGUACUCUUCUGUCUAGAAAAAGGCCAAACUGCAAACAAGAACAGCAUGUCAAGAAACUCAAAUUAGGAUGUAAGAGAGGCUUUCUUCUUUUUCUUUUCCCAAUUUUUUUCUUUUUACUUUUUCAGUUCGAGGAAGGUAGAAAAAGUGGUCUUUUCUAACAAUCAAGUGAUAUGAAUCAGUUCACCUCGUAAAAGAUCUUAUAUGAUAUUUGUAAAUAGGGAAACUUGUAAUUUUUCAGAUUUUAUUCAUGUAUUCCUUAUUUUCCUUUAAUUACAAAUAAAGAUUAAAUAUGUGUAGCAAUCAUACAAUUCUUGUAAUCCUUUUUUACACACCUAAAGCACUCUUCUAAGGCUAUCUCUGAUUGGGUUUCAAAUAUUCUCUAAACUAAAGAAAAUAAAAUCUAAAUAUUGUUCCAAAUAACAUAAGAAACUCAAAAGAUAUUAUAACCCAAUGAUAAUUAAAAUCCAAGUUAAAUAUAAAAUCCUGGCUAAAUACUAAGGAAAUAUUAAUUUCCUAAAAUGUUAAAUCCUAAUCUAACUAAAUUAAAUAGGAAAGCUAUGAACUCAAGAAAAAAAAAUGAGAAAGAGAACAAUCUUAAAUAAAUAGAUAAAUAAAUGUUAAAACAAAAACUCAAUUAAAAAAAUCUGAUGUAUCCCACAAGUAUUAACAUUUGAAACACAAAUUAAUUAGUUGCUCAACGUGAGAUAGGUUUAUGUACAAGACAAGUAUAUAAACUAUGAAAAAGGAAGUCCAAAAUAAUUAAAAAUGACACAAUUAUAAAUCCAUCCUUUAUCGCCAAGUAUGGCCCAACACAUUUGUCUAGAAAAAGUCUGAUCUUCAGUGCAUUUACAAUGACUAUCCACAAUCCAAAUAUCCUGUUAUUAAACUAGGUUUUAAAGAAGAUACAUGGUUAAGUAUAUGCAUUUUAGAUAUUUGAACUGACUCAAAACAAAUAGGGAACAAUGCAAACAGGUAAAAGACAUUCUCUAUUAAUUGAUAGCUCAAGCAUAAAUCAUUGGAAAAAAAUUAAUUUUAAGUGGUAGCUCAAAGUAGACAGCAAAAUUUGGGUGCUACCUUUAGACAGAUUUGAUUUUAAGGAGAAAACCCAAAUUAUUUCAUACUUAAGUUACAAAUUAUUAACAUAUCAAUGAAAGUAGAAGAAACUAUGUCAAGCUAGAAAUCUACAUAAGGAACUAUUCAAUCAUUAGAAGAUAUUGGACAAUCCAAGACUUACCAGUGAAAGUGGAUAUGCAGCAAGUAGUGAACGAGGAAGUGCUGAAGUGAAGUACCAGUGGAAAGCAUUUGUCUAACAAUAACCUUGUCAAGGAACGUAGUAAUAUAUGAAAUACAAAUAGGACAGUGUUAUCAAAAGCAACAAGCAAUAUGCAGAUUUUAUAUGAUGAUGAACUCAUUAUGCCUUGUCCCCAGGAAAAACAGAUAAAAUUCACAAAGAUCAAUGAAGAUUAGAAGAAGUAUUAGCCACUGAACAUCCAACCAUCCAAACCCUAAUCCCAAUACACCAAAAUCCUUGUUGUUGCAGAAAUUUACUAAUUCCUCCAUCUCAUAUUACUUGUGUUUUAAGAGAAUACACAUUUCUUAAGAAAAUUAAUAAAGACAAAUUACUAUGAUAAAAGAAAAAAACUUUUUGUUCAGAACCUAAUCUUAUUUAACAAGUAAGAAUGUAUUUGUGAAUUCAUUCAAGUAUUUAGGAAGAUACCCAUAAAUGAAGUUAUUGAUGAAAAAAAGUAAUUAAUGCUCUCUUGAUUCCUGAAGUGACAAAUAUUUUGAAACAAAGUACAAUACCCAAAGAGACAUGCACUAUGAGACAAAGGGAAGUACAUAUCUGUUCGAAAAAUCCUUAUUGGGUCACAGAUGGCUUUCAGGUACUCACUUCAAAACAAAGAUCUUAGUAUUCCCAGGAUUUCCAAAAGAAGUAGUAAAUCAUUACCUCCCAAUAGAACUCCCAAAACAGUGAAAUUUCACAACAUCCAGACACAAUUAUAGCUAUCCACAUUUAAACAAGUCAAACCACUUAGAAGAAGUAACCAUCAAAUCAAAUAUGUCUUCCAAAAAUAUAAUAUAAAAAACAUUCACAAAGCUAUCAUUAUCCUCUAAAGAGAGAAUUGUAUGAUUGUAUCAUCAGCAAACUUAAAAUAAAGACCAUAAACUCUUGUAAACAAUAAGCCACCUCUAAUAUCCUUAAUGAUAUUCCUAUCCGCAGACAGCAUCUGAACGAACUCAAUUCAUAACAUCAACCUCUAAAGUAAACAACAAAGGUGACAAAAGAUCCCCCCUCCUAACUCCCUACUAAACCAGGACUUAACCUCAUCAUUCAGCCACAAAAAAAGGGUAGCAAAAAAGGCCUGCUUGGUAAAAAAUAUUUUAUGCAAGAAAUAGUGAAAAUGGAUUUUUGUUCUCAACUUUCCUGUAGAAACAAACCCUUCCAAAAAUAAAAGAAAGUGAAAAAACAAGGUGUCCUUUUUGUAAUUAUUCCCAAAAACAAAAAAUGGUUUUUCAAACCAAUCAGAACCAGAAGAAAAAUAAAAAUACCCUGAUCAUGAAAUUUGUAUAACAUAUUUUCCAUAUUCUACAGCCAUAUAACAUAUCACUUGGUGAAGGAUACUCCCCAUUCAGAGCUUUUGUUUAGUACAGAGUUAAACCAAAAGACUUCAAAUUCAGGCCACAAUAAUCGUUUCCACAUAAUUGAAUCAACUAUUAUGGUUAGACCUGUAUUCAGAAGACCAUAAUGUUAGAAUCAAAUUUAAACAGCACAGUCUCCUAUCAUGCAUAAUUUUUUUUAUUUAAGUUACAGAUUAAAUUUAAAAUAAAAAAAAUGUACAUCACCAACCUAUGCAGAAGAGGGCCAUCCCAGUGCAGUGUUUCAGAGCACCCCAUACUGAAAUUUUGUUUGUCUUCCCUUCAAGAGAUGAAUUUUAUUAGGCACAAAGCAUGAUCAUGUUACCAUGUCAAAAAUAAAUUUCCAAUUUUAUAAUAACUCAACCAAAAUAGCAAGGUCCGAAAAAGGAUAGAAAAAAUUCAUCAAACAGCAUAAUUAACUUCAAAUGCCAAAUAUAAUAAACACUGUUCUCAAAACAUUGAUAAACCAGGCAUGGUUAAGCAAUGAAGUUCCACAUUUAAAUGUUAAAUGAACAUUAAAUAAUGUCUUGCGGACUGGACUGAGAAGAACCUAAAUCAACUCUACAAAAAAGGCUUAUAAGGUUAGAACUGUACAAGCUUUAUAAACUCUGUUUAAGUAAUAUCUAGUCAAUGUGGGAGUAAGUACAUCCCAAGGCUGCAACUAAGGCAGCCCAAAGAGGCCACAAAUAAGGCAGGCCGGGAGUGACUACAAUUAAGGCAUUUUCCAACAUAGGAAUUUUAUGGUGACCCAAGUGAACAUUUCAAACACCUUGUUGAUUAUUUUAUAACCUCUAAGACAGAGACAAAGCAACAGAAUUUCUCACAAAUUGGAAGCCUUAAAAUUGAAAUACUCAAUAAAAUAAAAGUCCAAAGCAGAUUUAAUUUAAAUUAUGCUGAGAAAUGUUGACAUCAAUAUUAGAGCUGUUGCCAUGACAGCUCACAGAUUAUGUUCCCUACUAAUAGUAAUUUAGGAAUCUGUUUCCCAUUAUUUGCUCUAUUUCAUAACCCAUUAUUCAAUAUUUCCUAACUAUUAGUUUUUAUAUCCGUUCCCAUCUAACUAAUUAUCAGGUCCAUAAAUUUAGAGAGUAAUUUUACAAAAUAUAUUAUGUAUAUAUUCGUAAAAAAGUGAAAUAAAAAUAUAAAUCAAUAGAAUUUGUUCUCUAUAUUUACAGGAAAUGUGAUCUUUAUUAUAAGUAACGGGAAGCAUCAUAACUCAUUGGAUAUCCUUCAAACCAAACAAAUUAAAGAAUUGACUGAUAUCUUACAUGGAUGUUAAGCACAAUGGAAACCUGACAAUAUCUAUAUCAGUAGCUCAAGCAUUUAAGGAGAAAAAAGAAAAGCAGGUUACAGAAAAGCACAACAUACCAAAAGAAGUUGCAGCCCAAUGGAACAAAGAAGCAACAGCAUGUCACAUCUGAAUACAGUUGUAGCAAAGAUCUGAUGAUCCGAAAGUACAAAGAGAUUAUUUUGAGAAAAGGCAAAGUAUAUCAAGCAUACUAUGAUAUUUAGAAUUAAAAGGGGCCACUAACUCCAGAAACUAUUCUAGGUAUCAAUAAUCAAUGGUAAAAGGAUUACAGUCCCUCCUGUCUCACUGUGUGUAAGUGCAUACAUGAAAAAAUAAUAUAUUAAACUAGUACAACUAUGAAAAAAAAUAUUACCAUUUUCAUAAAAUGAUUUAAUUUCAAAAUCAUUGGAAACAAAAUGAUGCUAAAUAAUAGUAACAUAACAUAUUAUAAAAGCUUGAUCACUUGAAUCAAAGAAUGUUUCCAGAAUUGAUAUGCACUUUAUAAAAAUUCCCACAUCUAGUUCUAGUUAAAAUAUAUAAACAUACAUAUAUUAUAUAUAUAUAUAUAUAUAUAUAUAUAUAUAUAUUUCAGGAAGGUUAUAAUCCCUGAUAAUUCUCAUGUUUCAGCUAAAUACAUUCAGAGUGAAGGAAGGAGGUGGGUUUUGUUUCGUUAUCAAAAUGGAAUGUAAGAGACAUCACAUCAUUGAUCAUCCAUUAUCACUUACUCCUCCACCCUAACCACACACCACUGCCACUACUGUCUUUGCACCGCAACUUAAACUACUCUAACAGCCCUCUUAAGGAACUCGUGAAGUUUUCUCUCAAAGUUGAUUAGGGGCAAGAAUAGCAUUCAUAGAAAUAUUCUCACAAGAUAAUUUUGCCCUUGCAUGCUUUCAGAAACAUGUAAGUCCCAUGUACAGUCCACUUUCGUCACCCCUAAAAAUAUUAUAAAAUGUUGAUAAAUUGUAUGCUUCCCUCUAUUCUGGUCAAAAUGGACCAAGAGCAUCUCAUUCUCACCUUAACUAUUCUUCACUCCUUUCUUUUUUAAUUUCCCACACAAAAAAAAUAUAAUCAAGGGCACUGAAUUUGUCUCUUCUAAGCAGAAAAUGACAAACACACAUGUCCAUGGAAUUCCCAUGUGUUAUUACAUGGGCAACACAUUCACAUACACAUACAAACGAGAAAUGAGAAAUUUCGUCAAACUAAUAGAAUUGGUUCAGAAUCAAUAUUAAGUAAAGAUCUCUGAAAAAUAAAGAAAUAAUAUCCAUGUAACUGGUCCCAACUAAUGGAAAAAAAAAAAACUUUUUUUGCAAACUUGAUAACAUGAAAAAUUAAAAUUUUCUCUUUAAAAAUAGAAAUCUUACAUGAAGCCUGGUUCAAAAAACUGAUUCCAACAUCUAGCAUGGCAAAAGAUGUAUAUGAUAAAAACUGGAAAAUAAAAAUACAGAAGAGUUCGUGAUAUUCAACAGAGGAAUGCUGUAUUGAGAUGAACCUUAAGCAACAAUAUACAUACCAGAGAGUUUAGAGCUGCAUAAAAACGUCCCUCAAACCAGUAUCCAUAUGCCAAAUUCACUGCAAAAAUAAAUCCAGAGAAAAUCCAGCACCAUGACAUUGACUAGAAAGCAAGAAAAAUUAUUUAAAAGAAUUCUAGAUGUAAGUAAGACAGAAAACUAGAAUAGGGUAUAGAAUAUAAAACUCAAUGAAUUAAUGCAACAAAAAGUUGUAUUUAAUAAUUUAUAGAAUUUUCUCAGUGUCCUUCUAAUUUAUUUCCCUAUCAACAUGUUAUAAAAAUUUCUUGCUAACUUAUCAAAAAUCAAUCUAAUCUUUUAAAAAUACACAUCCACAUGUUGCAUAUUUGAAAAGAAAAGAAAAAAAAUCUCAUUAGGGUCAUUUGUGUCUGUUAUUAAAUUAACGUGAUGUCAAAGAGUAAUCAAAGUGUACUCCUGUAUUAGCACUCUGUUAGUCCUUGGUUCUGCCAUCUUUCUGUUUGUAUUAAGGAAGGAUUAGUUUUUAUAAUGAUUCAGUUACAUUAAUCACUAUCAUGUAACCAACUGCUGAGUCAACAACUGGAUAAUCCCUGGGCAAAAUUUAUCAGAAUUUACAGUUUCUAAUUCUGGCUUUCUCAAGUCAGAAUCUAUCCUCUCUCUACUCUCCACUAGAAUCAUAACAAUGUUGUGUACUUCAACUUUAUUCCAUUCCAUAUUGUAUUUGUAUAUAUCAUUUUUUCUUUGAAACAUACAAAUUCUCUGUAGAACCAUUAUGCCUUUAUCUACAAUCAGAUAGCGACCAAGGCAAUGAUUUCCUUCCUUUCUGAGCUAAAGGUCCCCAUAUAUAAAUCCAGCAUUCUGGGUCUGCCCCCUGGUGUUAUCUAGUUUCACACUGCCUUUCAUCAUUAAAAACAAGAGAAACACUAUCAAGAAUAUAAAGAAGCAAGACAAGCUAAGUAGUUACCUAGGCCCAGUGCAAGAAUGUUAGGAAGCGGACGGGUACAAUAGAACAGAAAAUGAAACUGUAUGGCAGUUAAUAUUACAAAGAAGGCCUCUACUUGAUGCCCAAAUUUAUUCCUUAUCUGCAUAUCAAGAUUAUUAUUAGAAUAUCUUCUUUAUUGGUCAUGAACAGAUAUCAAUAGAAAAAAAGAGACAAAGGUACAUACCUGGUGUCGGAAGAAUCUUAGUGUAUAUAGUAUGAUGCACCCUAGAGCCAUUCGAACUAGAUAUCAACAAAAAGAUAUAUUAAUGUACUUCCCACCACGUUCUCAAGAAACAGAGAAUGCGAGAAUGAAAAUUGAAGGCAUUUUGAGAUAUUUUAGCAUUUUGAGAUCACCAAUGAUAAUAGACUCAGCUAUGAAUUCCAAAUUACUUUAUUUGAUAUGUCAAUUCAAUUAUGCACAUACAACACACACAUUGGUCUCUAAUAAAUGCCCACAGACUAACACAAUUAUGUAGUGAAACAAGAAUUUGAUCAGAACUAUUUUUCAAGCAUUUUUUUCCAGCUAAAGAUAGCGUUUUAUACUUCAAACUUCUUGUAGUGUGUUUUUUUUCUCAUCCACACAAUUUCCAGUAAUCCAAACAGAAAACUAAUAACUUGCUUCUUAAUGCACUACCCAGUAGGAAACACACCACGCUUUAUCAUUAGUACUAGUCUAUCUCAAUUUAAACCAAAAGGAAGGCAAAAUCCAGAGAUAAAGAAAAAGAUAAACAGCAUUGAAAACUAUGAUGAGCAAAAAUCAUAAUGCACUGAUUGUCAAGUAUGAGAGAAGGAUACCAAUGACAAGAGCAUAAAACUUUGGCAAAUGCAGCAAACUUGCAGUCAACACAAAAGGAGCUGCAAUGAUUGACACAAGCAAAGCACCUAAAACAAAAUAACAAUGACAACAGCACUAUCAGAUAACAUCUAAUAAUAAAAUAAAAAGAAAGCUACGCUGGCAGGCACCAAUUUAUACUAACAAAGCAUGGCCAUUUGACAAUCCAACUAAACAUCAGAACGGUUAAAUUUCCACAGCUAAAACUAAACAAACUUGAAUCACGUUAACAACUCAUACAUAACACAUGGUACUCACAAUCUCAGAUUAUUAAAUGGAACCAUUCACAUUAGGCACACAACCAAUGCAACUUUAUAAACAAGUCCUUAAUCCUCAUUUAUUUAAUUCUACAUAAAAAAUUAUUAUCUUCCAUAAUAAACCACAAAUACCUGCCUAAAUACCUGCCUAGUGUUAAGGGUCUUUUCCGACAAGAUUCUCCAUAAACUAAAAUUAACUUAUGUAUGCAUAAGCAAAUUUGUAUAAAAAAUAAAAAUAAAAAAUAAAAUAAGUUUUUCCAUAAGCUAAAAUCAGUUUACGUGUAAGCUAAUUUAUAGAAGUUCACUGAAAUAGUUUCUCUAAAUUAUUAUUUUUAACAUGGACAUGAGCUAAACUUAGCCUAUGCUCAUUUCAUAUUUUCUCUCUUACAAGUGUUAGUGAAAAAGUUUGUACAAACAGAGCCUAAAUGCGAAAGCAUAACAAAAAAAAUCUUUAUGACCAAACAAAUAAUACACAUAUUUUGAAAGAAAUUGCCAGAAAAUACAAAAAAAAAUACCUAAGAAAGUGCGAGGAACCACCCCAGGGAAUUCCAGAUGAUCAUACUAUUAACAGAAACGUUAAAACAUCAUCAAUUGAGUCCAAUAACAUAUCAAUUAAUCAAUUAAUAAAGUUUAUAAAGUUAACAACAGCACAAAGUAAACUCACAUUCUCUAGGUUAGUCCAGUGAUAGAGAAUAUCGUGCAUUGCCUUUAAGAAACAAAGAUAAAUAAUAAAUAAAUAAAAAUAAGCAAACAAAUUGAGGAAGAAGAAGAUGAAAAGAGAGAGAGAGACCUGAACAUUGAAGCUCUCUUCGACCUUAGUGUAAGGAAUGGUGAGAACGUAUAAAGCAGCGAUUGACGCCAACAGCAAAUCGUAACCAUAUCGCUGCAGAAAAGUCUCCGAUUUCGAAUUGGAAGCCAUUGUUGUUCGGUUUGUUGCAGAGUGAAUGCAGAAUAGACUAGACAAACAUGAAAUGAGCUUGUGGGCCUUUCUGAAGAAUUGGGCUUUCAUUUCUCACACUUAACCUCGGCUUUUGCUUCCUGCACCUCCAUAAUUUCUUGGCGCACCCCAUAAUUUUUAAAAUGAUAUUUUACCCUUCUUUAAAGUCACUUUCAAAUUACCCAUUUCAAAAAAUUUCCAGCUUUUUACAAUUUUCAGAAUGUGAUUUUCAAAACAGGAUUUUCAGAAUAAGAUUUCCAUAAUUUCUGAAUAUAUUCCAAAACAAGUUUUUAAGAACUUAUAUAAUAUACUUUAGAAUGCAUUUUCUAAAAUGAGUUUCCAAAACGAGUUUUUUUACAAUGAGUUCUCUCUUUCUUCUUCUUUAAUGAUUUAAAAUAAACACUUUGUAUCGCGUUUUUUUAGCGAUGCACUUAAUACUAAUAGGGUACAAGAAGCAAAAGUUUAACUUUUGUUCUCGAACGGGGUUGGAACUCAGAGAACUAUUGAGACUCCUUCUUGGUCGGUCGAUCGGCGUGCACUUCAGUUACUCUCCCCACAAGCUCCUUCCUCUUCUCUGCUCGCUCCGUUCCUUGACCUUCUCAUAAUUCAGACUCACUCGGAUCGUACCUGCACUCUAACGCUCAAGUCAGUAAAGGUAUUCGAUACUCGGUUGUCAGAGCACUGUACCUGAUGAUGAUCCCCUGAUUCUUGCAAUGUGUGUUAUUUAUAUUACCUUAGUGUGUCUUCCUUAUUGGUUCAGAUUACGGAGUUGGACCGUGAUUAGGGUUACAUUACCUAGCUCUUAAUCAUGGAUUAGCUUCGCUGAUAUUGUUUGAGCGUAAUUGGACUUAUGUUGUCGGUCGACCUUAUAGACGUGGGUCGUUAGGUCUCGGUCGGCCCAGUGAUGGGACCCGAGACAUGACAUCGGUCGUACGACCUUACCAAUACAGUGGGCCUUCCUUAUUGGGCCAGAUUAGGGAGUUGGAUCGUGAUUAGGAUUCCAUUACCUAGCUCUUAAUCGUGGAUUAACUUCAUUGACUCUGCUUAAGCGUAAUUGUCGAUCAGCCCAUUACGUGGGUCAUGACAUUGUCGGCCCAUUACGUGGGUCAUGACAUCGUCGACCCGUUGAUGUGGGUCAUGACAUCGGUAGGUCCAGUAAUGGGGACCGAGACAUGUCAUUAGUCGUACGACCCUUACCGGUACACUUGCCCUCCAGGCUCGAUGAUGAUUAAUCCGAAGAGUCUUUGAGAGUAAUGUGACGGUCGGGCUCCGGAGAUUUGACGCGGAGAUCUAGUUUUUAGUUUUGUUUCCUUUGACCGAGAUGUGACCCUUUCUUUUUAUCCUGAGGUCGGGGUGUGGCCUCCACCGGCCGAGAUAAACGAUAAGUUUUUAUGCAUUUACUUGGACCAAGUUUUUAGGGUGUCGGUAGGGUAUGCUAGUUAAGGCUACUUCCUUGACCGAACCAAGUCUUCAUGGUGUCGGUAGGGUAUGCCGGUUAAGGCUUCGUCCUUGACCGAACCAAGUUGUUGUGGUAUCGGCAGGAUAUAUCUGUUAAGGCUUCAUCCAAACCGAACCAAGUUGUUGUGGUAUCGGCAAGGUAUGCCUAUUAAGGCUUCAUCCAGACCGAACCAAGUUGAUGUGGUAUCGGUAGGGUAUGUCUGUGAAGGCUUCAUCCAGACUGAACCAAGUCUUUAAGGUGUCGAUCGGCAAGAUUCAUCAUCCAUCUCUAGUGUGAAUGUCAGUCGGCCCAUUGAUGGGACCAUGAUGUCGGUCGGCCCGUUGAUGGGGAUCGUGACAUGUAUGGCAUGUCGGUAGGCAAGAUUCAUCAUCCAUCUCCAGUGUGAAUGACAGUUGGCCCAUUGAGGGGAUCAUGAUGUCGGUCGACCCAUUGAUGGGGACCGUGACAUGUACGACUUGUCGAUCGGCAAGAUUCAUCAUCCAUCUCCAGUGUGAAUGUCAGUCGGGCCAUUAAUGGGACCAUGAUGUCGGUCGGUCGUUGAUGGGGAUCGUGACAUGUACAACUUGUCGAUCGACAAGAUUCAUCAUCCAUCUCCAGUGUGAAUGCCAGUCGGGCCAUUGAUGGGACCAUGAUGUCGGUCAGCCCGUUGAUGGGGAUCGUGACAUGUAUGACUUGUCGGUCGGCAAGAUUCAUCAUUCAUCUCUAGUGUGAAUGCCAGUCGACCAAUUGAUGGGACCAUGAUGUCGGUCGUCCCGUUGAUGGUAACUGUGACAUGUAUGACAUGUCGAUCAGCAAGAUUCAUCAUCAAUCUUAAGUGUGAAUGCCAGUCAACCCAUUGAUGGGACCAUGAUGUCGGUCGGCCCGUUGAUGGGGACCGUGACAUGUAUGACUUGUCGAUCGACAAGAUUCAUCAUGAUGUCGGUCGCCGAGCACGACUCGACCCUGAAGAAAUCACGACUGGCGUUCGCCAUCAGAAUCGAAAACUUGUCCAAAAAUUCAGCGAUAAAGGUCUCGAUCGUAAAGGUGGAGGUGAUCCUAGUUACCCUAAGGUCCACCCAGUCAAUCUUUGGUGGGGAGACGACCUGCUUGAGGGAGUUCGAUCGGUCAAUAGCACCGCCCGGGUUGUCCCCCCUAACCACCUCCACAGGGGGCAACACUUGGAUUGCGACGACCGAUCUAAGCUCGGUUGUGGAGGAUUCGGAGGCAGAAGAGGAAGUGGACGAACGAAGACGAAGACGAGGGACGCGCAAGACAAGGGGGAUGAAGGGGACGAGAACCCGAAGAAGAAGAGGAGGUAGGUCAAUACAAAGAAGACAUGACUAACCUUACGAAAGCCGGAACACAGCAACUUAGGAUGAUGAUAACCGUUCAGGUCUCAGAGCAAAUGUUUGAGUAAUAGCGCAGUUUCUCGACACUGUUGGGACCACUAUUUAUAACCCCAAAGGUCUCGGGAGGCGAAACUUCACAACCAUCUCAACUAUUAGAUUUUUUCAAUCCAACGAUUUUUUCAGCUCCUGCACAGAAAAACCCCUCAUCAAUGCAGGUCAUGUCAAUCGCCGCCUGCCAUCACGUCAAACAUCGAGAACCCCAACCGUUACACCAAACCCAGAAUCUCGACCGACAUAUCACUCUCAUAAGACUCUUCGGAUUAACCAUCCUCAAGCCUGGGGGGCAAGUGUACUGGUGAGGGUCGUACGAAAGAUAUCACGUCUCGGUCCCCAACAUCAGGCCGAUUGAAUGUAGUCGCGACACAUGUCCGUUGGACCAACCGAUAGCUCAAGUCCAAUUAUGCUCAAUCAAGGUCAGCAAAGUUAAUCUGUGAUUAUGAUCUAGGUAAUUCAACCCUAAACACGAUCCAACACUUAACCUGGCCCAAUAAGGAAAGCUCAUCACAGGUAAUAUAAAUAGCGCAUACUUCAAGAAACAAGUAUGUCAUUAUCUACAGUACUCUGAGAACCGAGUGUCAAACCCUUUUGCUGACUUAAGCGUCAGGGUGUCUUCUGCAAGUACCCCCCCCCCCAAUUCGGUGCUUACAAGAAGACCGAGAACCGAGGCUACGAAGGAAAGGUGAGGAACGAGCAAAGGAGGUUGAAGAGCAGUACGACGACCGACCAACAGGAAGGAAGAAGGUAAAUCCUCUCAAUAGUUCUUCAGGCCCCAACCCUCACACGAGAACAAUUUUUUUUCAUAUGUCCAUCAACUUAAUGUUUCAAAUUUACCUUAUGUUGUUCAAUUUAAAAUAAGAAAACAAUAUGUAUUUAAUUAUAAACUUUAUGACACCUUAAAAUAUAAUUAAUGAAAAUGUAAUUGCCAAUAAAUAUUCUCACUAUUUUUACUCUACUUGUUUUACUAAUAAUUUGUCUCUAGUUCUUAAAAUUAUUCUCAAUUCUAUAAUAUCAUAAUUUAAAUUGAUGUUUUCUAUAUAUUGUAUUUAAAUUGUUUUAUUGUUUUCAAUUUACUAUUCCCUACAAAGGUCCAGUAUAAAUAUUUUAUUGUUUUCAUUUCUUUUAUUUCCAAAACUAUUUUAAAAAUUAAGUUAAAUGAUAAUUUUUUAUAAAUAUACAAUUGAAAAUUUAUUUUAAAAAAUUGAUAAAUUUAAAUUUUUUAUAUAUUUAUUAUUCAAGAAAAAUAUAUUAAUAGUGAUAGAAGUUGAUUUUAAUCCUUUAAAUGAUUAUUGAUUUAUUGUUCACCAUUGUAUAUGUGAGUGUGGUGGCUAAGAGAAGUUAUUGAAGAUAAAAAUGUGUGUAGAAUAAUCACUCUAAUACUGCACUAAGUGUAAAGAAAGUGAAAGAAUCAUCAAUAUGCAACAUUAUUAAAUUAAGCAAUUUUGUCCAAGAUUUUUACAUAUUUUUAAUUGAAAGUUACUUGAUAAUUGGAGACUCAAAAUAUUGAUAACUUUUUGCUUUCAAAGUAUGAUACAAAUAGUGAUAGUUGGUUUUUUUAACUUAUAACUAAUAUAAACUAGUCUUCAAACAACAACAAAAACUUGAUAAUACAAGCAAGUUUUCUCAUAUAUCAAUGUGUCAAUUACUCAACAACAUCUACAAGGCUCUAUACAAAUAGAAACUCCUAGAACAACAUGUAUUUCCUUUCAUUCAUUGGUGAUUUGACUAGGAAUAUAUGGAUAUAUUUUAUUAAAAGGAGUCAUAAAGUUCUCAAAGUUUUAAAGAAAUUCAAGAGAUUAGUUGAAAAGAAAAGUGGUAAGAUGAUUAAGAUCCUAAGAAUAUAUGGUUUGUGAAUUCAUAAAAUUAUAUGAAAGUGGGGUAUUAAUUCAUGAAGUUACGCAUUCUUAGACACACCCUAAGACUAUGGUGCAACCGAGAGAAUUAACAUAACUAUGUUAAACAUGGUGAGAUGCAUGCUAAAAAGCAAAAGCCUUCUAAGCUUCAUAUAGGGAGAGGCAGGUUAACUCUUGUAAUCAAAUUGAAUAGAUCUCCCACUAAAAGAUUGGAAGAUAUCACACCAAAAGAAGCAUAGAUUGUAGCCAAACCAAAUUUUAAUAAGAAUAUUUGGUUCAAUAUGAUAGAAACAUGUCUGUAAUCAACUAAGGGGGAGCUUGAUAAUAGAUGCACAACACAUAUUAUGAUUGGUUAUCAUUCAACUAGAGGUUACUAGAUGUAUGAACUAGAAAAUGGUAUAAUUAUUUAUUAUUAAAGAUGUUGUAUGUGAUGAGAACGGAAGCUAGGAUUGGAAUUCAAUCUUCGAUGAAGCUCAACUAGACCUACUACCGGCAGGUCGGCCCAUAAACCCACUAACAUUUAGGCAGGACGGGCAAGUCCGCUAGCUCACCCAUAUUUAUUUUUUAUACUUUUAAAUAGGAAUGUCAUGCUUUUGAAAUCAAAAUUGGUGAUGAUCAACAUUUUAUAUAAAAUUUUAUUUACAUUAAUUUUUUUAUACAUAAAUUUAUUCAUUGAAGUAUUCUUGAUAUUUAUUUUAUUUUGUCAUAUAUUAAACCUUCUUUGAUUAGAAUAUUAAAGUUUGAUUCAAUUUUAUUACUCUUUCUAGCAUUUUUAUUGUCUAAAUAGUGAUAUCAAUGGCUACAACUAAAUAAAUAGAUCCAAACAAAAAAAUUACAAAAACUUUAAAAAGUGGCAGGCUUGCCAACCCACCCCAUGACAGGACAAGUUACUAAUUUUAGCCUGUAUAGUCUUGGCGGGUCAGUCUAGUCCACCCCUCUUUUGGCGGACCAAUGGCAGGUCAGACCAAAACGAGUCGAGCUGACCUAUUUUACCACCCUUACAUUUGAGUGAUUAAAUAGUCAACUCAAAAGAAUAAUUGGUUCAUUUUGCACUUAUGGCAAAAGCUAAACUUGUUAAGUUAGACAAGCCAAUGAUUAAGGAAGAAUGACUAACAAUUAUGAAGGAUCAGAUACAAUCUAUAUAGAAGAAAUUCAUGAAUCCUCCUUUAAAUAAGAAACCUAUAACACUAAAAUGGUUUAAUAAAGUGAAAGUUAACAAAAAAGGAGAAAUGGUUAAGCUCUAAGACCAAACUUGUGGCGAAAUAAAUUUUGCUAAAAACAAGAAUCAAUAUGAUAAAAUUUAUACAUUGUAGCUAGAAUGGAAACUAUCAAAAUGGUUGUAGCUAUUGCAACUAAUGAUAAUUUUAUGCAUCAACUAGAUGUUCAACCACAAGGAUUUGUAGUUAAGGAUUCCAAAAAUAAGGCAUACAAAUUGAAGAAGACAUUGUAUGGCAUUAAACAGACACCAAAAAUUUGUAAUAAGAUAAUAGAUAAUUUCUUGUCUUAAAUUAUCUUUGAGGAAUGCACCUCAAAACAUGGAUUUUAUAUGAAAUUCUCAAAAGAUAAUGUGAAAUAAAAAAAAUUGAUCAUAUGCUUGUGCUUUAAUAAUAUUUUGAUUAUUGAUGGUAGUGAGGAAGUAAUUGUUGACAAGACAAGUGAUGAAUGAGUUUGAGAUGAGUAAAUUUAGACUUUUCUUUUACUUUUUGGGAAUUGGGUUUAAAAUAACCUAGUAUGGGACAAUUUUGCAUCAAACCAAAUAUGUAAAGGAUCUAUUAAAGAGGCUCAAUAUGCAACAAAACAAUCCAACAUGAACACUAAUAGAAUACUUGUGUCGUAUAAUGAAACAAAUGAAUAUAUAGUUUAUUCUGAAGAUUGUUGGAUGUUACAAGGUCAAACUUGAACUUCACGGACUGUAAAUUAUCUCACUUGUUAGUUGCGAAAAGGAUAUUGAAGUAUGUACAAAGAACAAUUUAUUUUAGAAUCUUAUUUCAAAUGGUGAAACUGAUAUAAAAGAAAAAUUGAUUGAAUAUUUUGAUUCAGACUAGUGUCGAGACAAAAGUGAUAGAAAAAACAUUGUUAGGUACAUUUUCUAUAGACGAGCUCUAAUCACUUAGUUCUUUAUAACGAAUCAUUUUGUAAAAUUAUCAUCUUGUAAGGUUAGACAUACAACAACAUCUAAAUGGCAUGCCAAGCAGUUUGGUUAAAUGCUUUGAUGCAAAGAUUACAAGUGAAAACAUUAAUCAAAGUAAAGUUGUUGGCAAACAAUAAAUCUAACAUUGAUUUAACAAAACAUUCAACCUCUCAUGAAAGGAACAAACAUUGAAGCAAAAAUUUACUUCUUAAGAGAGCAAAGUCAAAAACAAAAAACUGAAAAUUAAACACAACAAAACUCAAAUUUAACUUAUAGUCAUACUUACUAAGACUUUAAAACUAUAAAACAAUAAAUGUUUAAACAUAUAAGAAAAUUUGUUAAAAUUAUUUGUUUAAAUACAACUUUUGAAUAAAUGAGAAGUGUUAAAAAUAAUUCAAAGUUUAAAAGUUCCUAGUAACUUUAUAAGCAAUACUAAACCCUAAACUUUAUAAAUUUCACUUUUAGUGCAAUGCACAUAUUCUAUCAAAUAUACAAUUUAUUUAUUUAUUUUCAUUUUAUGAGUAAUAGUUAACACCUAAAUCGAUUUUUAUUUUUUAAAUAGGUUUAUUGAAAAUAAUAAUCCACGUACAUGGUGCGACCAAAUCAAAUGUUUUAUUCCAACAAAAUAAGCCUAACUAUUUGCGGCCAUUGUUGGUAAGGUUGUCCCAAAACCGCGACAAUGUUCAGCGCGUGUCCCACCAACGCGGCGACGCGUCCAUGCUUCAAAUAUUCUUCUGAAAUUCAAUCCUCUCUCUCUCUCCAUCCUCACUCGUUCCUUCUAAAUCCCGCCACGCGCCACUCUCUCUCACUCUCCACGCGACAAAACCACGCGCCUCCCUUGCCUCCGCCGCCGCGUUUGGAUUACACCCCUCCCAACGAGACGCGUCUGAACAACUUGUACCUCAAGCGCGGCAAAGUCGAGUUUGCGCGCCUAGUGUUUGAUAAAAGUCCCAAACGAGACGUUAAUGCAUGGAGGUGGAGUACCAUGAUUACCCGUUUCGCGCGCAAUGGAAUGAUAAAAGAAGUUUUGGGGUAUACGAGGUUGAUGUUGGUAGAGGGAAUAAAUCCAAGUUUGGUUUUAAUGACUGUUAUUCUUGAUGUUAUAGGGAAAGCUGGUGCACGAAACUUGGGUAGAGAAGCUCAUGGUUUUGUGGUGAAGAAUAUGUAUUUCAAGGAAUUGUCGAUUCUAACCGCAUUGAUCGAUAUGUAUCAUAAGUGUGGCGAUGUUGGGUCGGGGAAUCGAGUUCUGUUUAGUGUGAUGAAGUGGAAAGGAGAUUUUUGGAUUGGAUUGGUUUCGGGGAGACUUGAGGUUCAAAUGAGAUCUGUGAUUCGGUUGAAGAGGUUCCGACCUGGUGCUGGUGCGGUUGCCUCUUUACUUCCCAUUUGUGCACAGUUGAGGGCUCUGAAGCAAGGGAAGGAGAUUCAUGCUUAUGCUUUGAGACAUUGGCUUUUGCCUAAUGUGCCAAUCGUGUCUUCUUUGAUGGUGUUGUACUCUAAGUGCGGUGAGAUUGAGUAUUCCAUUAAACUUUUUGAUAAAAUGGAGUCGAAGAAUGUGGUUUCUUGGACUGCCAUGAUUGAUUCAUGCAUUGAGAAUGGGGGUGUGUGUGAAGCCCUUGGUGUCAUGAGGUCAAUGACAUGGAUGACCGAGCAUAAGCUGGAUACUGUUACCAUGGCUAGGAUGCUACAUGUGUGUGGGGAGAUGAAAGCUUUAAAGCUUGGGAAGGAAGUUCACGGACAAGUAUUGAAAAGGGGUUUUGCAUCAGUCCAUUAUGUUGCUGCGGGACUCAUUGAUAUGUAUGGGAUUUGUGUAGAUAUUGAUAAAGCAAAGUUGGUAUUCAGUGUGGUUCCUGAUAAAGGUUCAAUGGCAUGGAGUGCUCUUAUAAGGGCCUAUGGGCAUAAGGAAUGGUAUCAGGAGGCAGUUGAUCUUUUUGAUGACAUGAUUUCAAAUGGUUGCUCUCCGAAUCGCUUCACUUUUGAAGCUGUUCUAUCUAUAUGUGAUAGGGCUGGAUUUGUUGAAGAUUCUUUUAGGAUCUUUGAUUUGAUGUCGAGAUAUAAAAUUGAAGCAUCCAAAGAACACUGCACUUGCAUGAUUCGACUCCUUACCCGCUAUGGUAAACUAGACGAGGCUCUAAGAUAUUUAGAAAUGAGUUCUUCCUUAUAGCUGAGGGCAAGAGAUAAUAGAUUGUUCUUUGGAUGUUUUAUUAGAUUGUUAACAUUCUUAAGCUAUGUUUAUUUUCAACAUACCGAACAGCUGUUAACUCCAAACUCUGUUUAAUAAACAAUGAUCACAAAUGCAGAGAGUACUAGAAUCCCUUCCAUCUGAAAGAGAGUCCUCUUUCCCACAGGUACUACUCAUAAAGGGCAAAUAAAAAAACUAUCAAUUUUAUAUGUUAAAUUACUUAAUUAUAAUCAAUAAUUAAAACUUAAUUUAAUUUGUAAGUGUUUUUCGUUCUGUUUUCUCAUCCAUAAUUUUAUGAUUGUUCUAUCUGUACAUUGGUACCUUCUGCCUCAAGUAAAGUGCAUUCCUUCAUUUGCUCUUCCCCGUGUACUCUGAUCUCACUGUUUUUGCUUUGUUGCAGAAACUGUCCAGAAUUUCGAGUUCAGCUAACAACUAAAAGCAGUCUAUAUAGCUUCUCUGAAAGAAAUUAACACCUGGUGAUUGUCUUUCUGUGCCUCCAUCUUCCAUUACAUAUUUUUGGUUGAAUUUGGGAUCUUACGAGGUUGCAUGAUUUGUUGGCCUGGCAUUUUCAUGUUCAGGAUGCAAGAUGCCACUGCUGACGAUUGAUUUUUGUUCGCUGAUGGACUUCUCAAUGCUAUUAACAUUAAGUGUCAACUAAUUUGCUCUGGCUUUUGGAGUCUGAGCAAUAUAAGUGUAGUUUCUCAAGCGAUGGUGUUCGAAUUUGAAGUUUAGCUCUAGCCAGCAGGGUCAUGGUAAUAAUGCUAUGCAUCAACAUUCAAAUGGCAGAAAUGGAUAUUUGCAAGGAUAUAUUCUGCUACUCAUCAAUUCUACUCAAAUUUGGACCAAUGGUGAGAAACGAUAAUAUCUAAGUGACUCCUCUGUUUCUAUGUCCACUAGGAUGGUGAGGAAUGAGAAGAUGACCCUUGUGUUCUAUCUCCACAAGGAAAAGCCUUUAUUUUUUGCAAUUUACAUGCAAGUGAGUUGCUUUCUUCCAUGUAUAGGCUUAUUGAAAUAAUACAGAAAGAGGGAAUGCAAAUUCAGAUAUUUGCCAUUUUACAAAUCCAACAUUUAGGUUCUCCAUUGAUCAUGUUCUAUAGUACAAUAAUUUAUGCAACUUGAUUAACUUUGUUUAAUGCACUGUAAGUUAGGGUUUGUCCCUGUUUAUCUCCUUAAAGCCAGGGCUGUAGAGGAUUUUAUUAACCCUAUGAACCCAAACACUCCACAACACAAACUCAGAAACAGCGUUGACCCUAAACCCUACACACAAAGCCACCAAUUUUUAUCCCAAAAAAAUGAACAAAAGAUGCAUUUGUAUGUAGAUUUAACCCAAAAAGUGGAAAACCCAGAUGGAUGUACAUGUAAAUUAACCCUAUGAACCCAAACACUCCAAGCACAAACUCAGAAACAGCGUUGACCCCAAACCUAAAUACAAAGCCACCAAUUUUUAGCCCAAAAAAAAUGAACAAAAGAUGCAUUUGUAAGUAGAUUUAACCCCAAAAGUUGAAAACCCAGAUACAUGUACAUGUAAAUUAACCAAAAAGAAAACAAAAACAAGAAGCAUGUAGAUGUAAAUUAAGAAGCCCAAAUUAGCAACAACCAACCAUGAUUAAAAUUUGAUGGUAAACAGUAACAUAACAUCAGUAGUGAUUGAUUACACACCAAACAAAAACCCUUCUUUCUUGGAUCCCUGGUUUCACCCCACCAAAGGGUGUCGUAAAGCUUUUUCAGUGGUGUUAUUCAUGAGUCCUUGGAGGAAGGCGUGCCUUGAUCGGAGGACUUGGUGAUGGCGGCGGCGGUGGUGGUGGCGGGAGGAGGAGGUUCACGGCGGAAGCGGGUGGCCAAGAUGUUUAGGAGGCUGUAGAAGUGGUAGAAUAGCUGUGCACUAACCAGCACUACCAAGCAAAAAACGACGAAGUCCAUUUUGGAAGAAGAGGAACAAGAAUAUGCUUGGAUCGAUCGAAGACGAAUAUGAACAGAGGAAGAAGAUGUUUUAAUAUUGGGAAAAUUACAUCUUUAAUGAAAGGGACAUGUUGGUCUUUUUCCCUAUUUCAUGUCACUUUCAUUUCUCACAUUAUUCUUAUUAUAUUUAAAUAUUACUUUACUUUUAUUAUGAUUAGAUGAAUGAUUAUAUUAUAAUAAUUAAAUAAAGAGAUUAGUACAAUAAAAAAAUU